GUAGGUUUGCGUUUGAAAAAUGGCCGAGCAAGGUUUCAUGGAUAAGGCCAAGAACUUUGUCACAGAUAAGAUAUCAAAUGUGGCGAAACCAGAAGCAGAAGUCACAGAUGUUGAUUUCAAGAAGAUGGGCUUGAGCCAUGUGGAGUACCUUUCCAAGGUGUCCGUGACCAAUCCCUACAGCCAUUCCAUCCCCAUUUGCGAUAUCAAAUACACCCUCAAAAGCGUUAACAGGUUCCAUUUCUCACUUUUUAACACUGGUCAAUUGGGUUCUUGGCGUUAAUUAGGUCAUGUUGUUUUUACGAAGUUCCGCUUUCUGCCUAUAUUUUUUGCUGUGUCAAAUUUGAUCCUUGAAUUUGCGAAUUGUAUCCGACGACCUACAUUUUAACAUCUGUUGAUGUCUUGUGCUCAAUCCGUUUGCCCUAGCAUUUACUUUUGACCAUUUCGUCGCAAGAAACUAACAGAAAUGGACAAAUGUCCUCAGGUGAGAACAGUUUACAAACUACGUGAAUCAAACUUGAUGCAAUUGAAAAGUCAUUUGUGUUGGGUGUGUUUGGUACGCAGACGGGACGGGACGGAACGAAGGUGUAAUUUUUUAAAAAGAUAUGGGGUAUAUUUGUCUUAAAAUGGUAAAACAUUGUGUUCCACAGACCUGGAACAAACCCGUUCCAGGGGUGGAGGGGAGACGCAAAAACACCCAAAAUCUGUCCCGUGGAACCGCCGUUCCACCCAUUUUUGGCGCACCAAACGCGGGACGGAACGCCUCGUUCCUUUCCGUCCCGUCCCGUCCCACGUACCAAACGCACCCUUAAGUAGAAAGUUUUAGGUUCGAUUGAUUUUGAUACUAGAUUAACAGUUGUGUGAUUUAGUUUAAUCUCCAGUGUUGUUUUAUAAAAAAUAAAAGUUCAGGUGGUAGAUUGAUAUUGUGUUUAGGACCUUCCUUUUGCGUCCUGGCGCAAACCACUUUCCCAUUAAUUUAGACUAGCUUAAAAUAUCGCUUUUUUUUUUCAAAAAAAAAAUAAAACUUGUGGAUUUAAUUGAAAGUACAUUGAUGAUGUUGAAAACUUUGUGAAAUUUAGACGGACCAAACCAGCGUUUUGACCUUUUUUUCCCUCAAUUUGUAGUUUGAUUUUGUGUAUAUUUGCAGGGUGAUUGCAUCGGGGACUAUCCCGGACCCUGGAUCACUAAAGGCAAGUGACAUAACUGUGCUGGAGGUGCUAUUGAAGGUGCCACAUAGCAUAUUGGUGACAUUGGCAAAGGAUCUGGGUGCAGAUUGGGACUUUGACUAUGAGUUGGAUAUAGGCCUCACCAUUGACCUUCCUGUCAUUGGCAACUUCACCAUACCACUCAACAAGAAGGGAGAGUUCAAGCUUCCCACCCUCUUCUAAUCACCAUGCCUUUUCAGAUGCAGUAACUUUUGCUAUUUUGUAUUUGGUUGUUGUUUGUUGAUCUAUGUAUAACUUCAUUAUGGAAUGGAUGAGGAAUUAGGGUGGUGCUAAUGAUGUUUUGAUAUUUAAUUAUGUUUGCCAUAUAAACGGUGGGAAUAAAGUUGUAGAAACUGAAUUCUAUGCAAUGUAUUAAAAGCGUGAGGCGUGGGCGAGGCGUCCGAGACGAAGCCACGUCUAGGCGUGAGGAGUGAGGCGGAAGCCUCACGGGAUUUAAUUAUAUAUAUAUAUAUAUAUAUAUGUUUUAUAUAUUAUACAUAUAAUUGUAUAAAAAUAAUACUAUGUAAAAUAAACAUCUAUUCUCAAUUUUUCAUUCAAAUUCAUAAUCAUUCAAAAGAUAACAUCAUCUAAAUUCAUCAUUCAAAAGUAAUAUCAUCCAAAUUCAUCAUUCAAAAGGUAAUACAAAGAAAACAAUAAACAUUUGAUGCAUGCAUAAAGUUAAUGAACUAACAAUUUAUUAAUUAAUUUAUAUACCGACAAUUUUCAACAAUUUAUUAAUUAAUUUAUAUACCCCUGUAGUCCCAACCACUUAGGCCUAACAAUUUCCAACCUACUAGCACCUUCCACUAAAUUUAUAGCCUAACCUUCCCCAGAAAAUGCAGAGGCAGAUUAAUAAAUUUAUAGCCUAAACAAGGCAGCACGCAGAGGCAGCACGUAGAGGCAGUAGAGGCAGAUUAAUAACUUUUCUGUCUAACUAUUAACCCCUCUAUUAUAGCAAAACCUUUCCCAGAAAACUAAAUCCCUAAUUUCAGAAUUUCAAAAACCCUAACCCUUGGGAUCUUGCUGACGCCGCUGGGGCUGGGGUGACGGUGCUGGGGUGACGGUGGUGGGGUGAUGGCGGUGUGGCGAUGAUGUUGCUCCAAGCGACGGCGUGGCGACCGGACCGGUGUUUUGGGCUUCUGGGCAUCUGGCGCGCGGGAGAAGAAGAAGCAAGAAGGCAGAAGGCAGAAGGCAGAGGCAAACAAAGGCAAUCGAAUUCGAAGGUAUGGUAUGAAGACUGAAAAUCCUUACCCAAACGGCUCAGUUUUGGGUUUGGAUGGUUUUCAAAAAAAAAAAAAAAAAGGGUCUGACAAGGCGCCUGGACGCCUUGAGGCGCCUGGACGCCUUGAGGCGCGCAGACGCCUUGAGGCGCGCCUCCGUCGCCUCGGCGUCUCCGGCGAAGCAUUUCGCCUACUCCAGCAAAACUGAGGCGUUUGCCUCACCGCCCAGCCUCAAGCGCGCCCUAGGCGCGCCCCGAGUUCUUUAAAACAUUGAUUCUAUGUCAGAAAAAAAAAAAAAAAAAAAAAAAAAAAAAAAUCUUGCAUAUAAUUAUAAAUAAUUAUGUUACUUUUUAUAUUGCUAAUUGAUUUUACGUGAAACUUUAACUUUUUUGAAAUCUAAAUAGGAGAAAUCAAGGGGAAUAAAGUAGCUUUAUGUGUGUUCUUGCAUUUGUUCUUUCUAUCUCUUUAAGUUGAUAUAACUUUACCAGUUGUAUAGCUUAAUAAGGCACUUUUAUCAAUAGGGGAACUGAAAUGUCAAUUGGAUCAUUUUUUUCCGAACUCUAGUUUACUACCACACUCGAAAUGUCCACAUCAAUUUUUUGACGCAUUGUAGUUUAUCAUGUUUUUAAUUAGUCUAAUACUUUAACUUCUGGACAUGGCGAUAACUAUUUCGUUUAUGUUUUUUUUUUUUUGUAUUUUUUUAACAAAUAUUAUUAGAGUAAAUUGUAGCUAUGGUCCCUGAACUUUACUCAAAUUGGAGCAAUGGUCAUUCAACUAAAAAUCCAUUACCAUUGGUCCUUCAACUCAUUAAAACGUGCAGCUAUGGUCCCUCAACUAAAAAUUCAUUAUCUUUGGUCCCUUAAUUUUAAUUCAACUGGAGAAAUGGUCCCUUAACUUUAUCCCAAUUGUAGCUAUGGUCCUUCAAACAUAACUCGGUUUGACAAAUUUUUUUAAGUAGUUGACGAAAAUGACCAUAAUUACACACUUUGAUGAGUUGAGGGACCCUAAUUAAAUAAAUGGUUAUUCCAACAUAACAUAUUUUGACAAAAUUUUGAAGAAAUUAAUGAAAAGGACUAUAGCUACAUAUUUUGAUAAGUUGAGGGACCUCCAAUUUAUAAUAUUUUUAAUUGAGGGGAUUGCUCCAACCUUGAGUAAGUUCAGGGAUCAAUACAAUUUACUCAAAUUCAUCUUCUACGGAGAACCGGAUUAAACCUCUCACAAUGGGAAAAAAUCGAGUUCAAAUUCGAGGGGUUUUCUCAAAUUUAUGGUAUUCCAGAAUCUUUCAAGCGUGACCGUUCAUGAUCUCUUUUACCCUAUAACUUCUAUUGUGUCAACUUUAACACAAAAAUAAAAUAGUUAUCAGAUAAUGCCCUUGGUUGAAUGUUUCCUCAAUUUUCUCAGUUAACGAUACUCAUUGUGAAAGUUUGCCUGUUUUUUGACCUCAGUUUUUCGAACUAACAUUUUAACUGUUGAAACUAGGACGAAAAUGCAAUGACAAAAAUUAUUGGGAUAAACGUGAAACUCAUCAUAUAUCUUUUCAUUACUAGCAAUAAUAUACACUAAGAAGAUGAGGGUUUGAUUCCGGAACGCAAUACGUGAAGAGGAAUGCCCUAACUAGGGCAAUCCACAAGUUUGACCAAAGCAAAAAGAAGGGAAUUACAGAACAGGAACAACAUCAAUGACGGGAAAGGGAUAAUAGUUCGGAAUCAAUGACCACAUUAAACAAGGAAAGUCUCCCACAAUAUAUAUCUGAUUCCACAAUAUGAUGAACUUAAAUAACAACAACUAUAUUUUUGGAGGGAAGUAAGAGGAACCCAGUUCUUUACUUAUAUUUUGGGACACUUUACAAGGAAGAAAUGCAAGAAAAGGAUCAUGGUUGGCCCCAUCUCCGAAAGCCAAAAGGUCCUACAAAUGUACCAACUCCUAUAUAUAUGAAUGGGAGUAGAGUAAUCGGUCCCAUAACUAAAUAUUUUAAAUUCAGUUUUUUGCCCUUCAGCAACAAUGCAAAGGAGUGCCUCUUCCGUUUCUUCAACAAAGCAAAGAAGUGCCUCUUCCGUUUCUUCAACAAGCAAAGAAGUGCCUCUUUCGUUUCUUCAACAAUGCAAAGAAGUGCCUCUUCCGUUUCUUCAACAAUGCAAAGAAGUGCCUCUUUCGUUUCUUCAACAAUGCAAAGAAAGUGCCUGUCACGAAUUCUUCGUUUCUCAAAGAAGAAUGUGUUCCCAAGAAAGACGUAGUGCCAAGCAAGGUCAGGGGUAUGUGGAAUGGAGAUUGGCUGAGAUGAAGAAAAGAUCUGCUCUUAUUGUAGGCCUUCAAUUUGGGAACCAAAGCUUGGACUCCACAGAACUCGUCUUCGAGAUAUCUAUCUUCAACCCCUUUGAGUUCUAUCUCCCUGUCAGUCAGGCUUCUUUCAAAUUCAAAAGCGCCGGCAGGUAGGUUUUGAUCCACAUCUCCUUUUCACAUCCUCCGUCCUGGACACGUUCUUGUAUACAAUUGUUAUGUACCACUUCCGUCACAUAACUGUGUUGAAUAUGAAAAAGUAGUUGUGUAUAUCGAUUGUAUACAAAUGAUAGUUACUAGGUCAAAUGUCCGAUAAUAUAUAUAACAUGCCAAUAUAUGUCAAUACAGAAAUUUUUAAUGCAUACACAUUUGAAUAUGUUGAUUGUUUUCACUUCAUGUGUGGUGUAGCGAGGUCUUAACAGGAACAUUGAAAGAGUCCGCGUCACUGAAGCCCGGAGAAGAGUCCAUUAUGUUUGUGUUGGUGAAGGUGCCGUUAAGAGUGUUCAUAAACUUGGCAAAGGACAUUUCUGGAGAUGCGGACAUUAACUAUGAGAUCGAUUUGAGUAUCAAGAUUAAGCUUCCUAUAAUUGGGAACGUUGUAUCCUUACCAAUUCCUUGCGAAUGCCAACAGGGCGAACUCAAGCUUUCUCAUCUGUUUUCCAAAUUGUUGGACCAAAUCAAUCGUCAGCAGCUGGUGCCUUAAACAUGAAAUCUAGUUUCUAUAUAUUACAGGUCCCAUCCUAUACAUCUGGUAAAAGAAUUAUAAGAGGGAGGGUGGAGUCUUAAGGGUUUCUCCUUGUAACAGAACUAAUACUCAAUUUAUAAUCUUAUAGUAAGGCAAAAUCUUGGAUGCGACUCUUGCAGUACCCUCUUUUAUCUAUCUUCUAUCUCUCUUGUUCGGUGAAUGUCUUGUCCCCACAGGAUGCUUGUAACGCAAUUGUUUUAAGGCCUUCAAAUGUUUGUCAUUUUGAGGUUGUCACGAAAAGAAAGGAUGUCAAAUCUAAAUAGAUGUUUUGAGUUAGAUAACAUUUUCAAUAUCCAUUGAAAAAUGUUAUUGACACUCUAAAAAAUCAAUCUACACUACUUUUGAUAAUUAAAACUAAAAUACUUAUAAAGAAUGCAGUAUGAUUUUUUUAGAGUACCAAUAAUAUCUCAUAUCCACUAAUACAAAAACUUGAGAAAAUAUCUUUUGAAUCCACAUUUAGUUAAGAUCAAAUUUGAUUGGGUGCUUGACCAAAGAAAAAAAAAUGUUUGCUUGUGAAUUUGCACCGAGGUUUGCUGGCCAGUAGAUGCACAGGCAAGGUGUCCCAACAGAACCACCAGAGUACCUCCUCUGGUUUCAAACUCCAUGACAGAACUUUCAAAGUCCUGAUCACGUUAUUUUUCAACGAAUUUUCCCAAAAUCUUUAACGAAUGGUACUUUUUGCUCCAAAAAAGGAAACGCAAAAAACCCAACUCAAAAAUCAUUCUCUCUCGAUCAAAGAACUCAAACAUGGGUGGUCAGAUGAAGGAACAUCAACUCCAUCAGCCCCAUGGCUCAAGAAAUCUAGAAGAGGAAGUGGUGCCAAUAUUUUAUCCCAAGUCACUUCCCCGGAUAAGAAGAAUCAAAUCCUGUGGGAUUUCACUACAGUUGUCAUCCUCCAAAUUGCAGUCAUUGGCGUGCUCUGACUCACCGUGUUCCGAUUCCGAGAUCCUAAAGUCAAGCUGGCGGGAAUUUCUGUGGAGAAUAUGAGCAUGGUGGUCGGAACCCUGGCCGCGAUCAACACAUGACUCUAAGGGAAGAAAUUAAGGUGAACAAUGAGAACUGGGGUAGGCUUAAAUAUGACAAGAGUGUUUUGUUUUUUUCACAUGAGGGUGUGACACUUGGAGAAGCAACAGUUUCAAAAGGGUCUAUUGGGAUGAGGAGGAGCAAGGAGGUGAGCGCUUUGGUGGAGCGAUGGCGGUGGCGGCAGAAGCGGGGAGAUUGGCUCUGGGGUUUUGAAUUUGAAGAGCUAUAUGAAGGUAAGCGGGAACGUGAAAAUGGUGGGGAUGGUGAGGAAAAGAAGUGGUGGGAUGGAUUGCAGUUUGACUAUUAGUUUGUCCAGGCAGGCAAUCCAGGAAGUUCACUGCCAAUGAUUUCCAAGUUAAAAAUAAAAAAUUGGUGCUGCCAAAGUUCAUCCUUCAAAACAGAUGGUCUGGUUUGCAGUGAGGAUCGAAUCCACCACGGUUUGGAAAGCAAAAGUUCGAGAUUUGAAAUGUAUUCAAGGAAAAGACUGCGUAUAUUUGUUACACCAAAAACCUAGAUAAAAAUUCAAUUCAAUCUGAAACCAUUUACCUAUUUAAUUAUCAAGAUAAAAUUUCAUUGUUUCUUAUAUAACAAAAUAUUCGUUAACUUCUUUGAACUCAAUUAGAUGUCUGAAACAUUUCCGAUUUGGCUAAUAUUUUGCAAGGAUGAUCUAUAAGGUGCAACUUGAAAAAUAGACUGUUCGGAUCGUUAAAGUUCGAUGUGGUGUAGACCCUACAACUAAUUCUCAUUUUUAUAAAUAAAAAAAAAUAGGGAUCCUUCCCUUAAAUGUUUCCUUUAUAUAUUACAAAUUUUGUAUUUAUUCAAAUAUGAAGUUUACAGUUUGAGUCUUUACUUAUAGAAUUUUGUUAACUAUACCAAUUAAAGUUGCCUUUACAGAAAGAAAUUUUUCAAAAUUAAAGUUGAUCAAAUCUUAUCUUCCAUCAACUAUGUCACAAGAAAGAUUGAAUGGGUUAUGUAUUUUAUCAAUUGAAAAAUAAUUGGUUAAGAACAUUAGAUUACAUAAACUUACACACUUGUGUCUUACACAUUUGUGUCUAAAAACGUGAGAAGUGUAAUAUUUAAGUAAUGUUUGCAUAUAUUUCUUCUUUCGAUAUUAAUUUUUAAGAUAUUUAAUGUAGAAAUAGAACUUUUCGUGUAAUUAGUGAAUUUUUUUUAUACAUGUCAAUACAAAAGGUCGGGAGUUAGAGAACUCUAAGACCCCAUUUGAAAGGCUCGACUAAAGCCCUAAAUUCUCAGGCCAGCCCUGGUGGGAGGAUUAAUCUAGUUAAUGUGAUUACUUAGUGUGAUAUGAAGCAAUGUAAAUUAUGCUCCUUUUUGUUUGAUUUCUGUUUCUUAUUUUUUAAAUGUAAAUUGUCGUACAUGAGCUUCUCUGAGGAAAGGCAGGCCUGCAAGGUAAAGGGCCUGGCCUAGUUGGAUAAGCAAAAACACUCAUCCCAUUACUUCAAAUUUGAGGCCCAAAAGGUUGGACACAAGCCCGUCUCAUAGAAGAUGGGACCCUCUGGAUAGGGUUUUCUAUCACAAUCAAUAUAAUAUUUGGGCAAUUAUCAGGAACAAUAUUUUUUAACAUUCAGUUGUAAAAGCGAUCGAUUUUUAGUAGUGACGACAUUAUAUUAAUCAUAUAUCGAUGACUCAAAUAUGACAUAAUAGCCACAUAAUGAUGAUAUGUGUUUGUACCAUACUUGACCAAUCCCGAAACUACUGAGCACCGAUUAACGUUAUACCGUCAAGGACCCAAAAGAGUUUCCCUCCAACCAAGAGAGCAAUCACAGCGUGACACGUGUCGACAUCAGAAGCCAAUCAUAGCACGACACGUGUCAACAUCAGAAACCAAUCACAACACGACACGUGUCAAUGUCAGAAUGAAACUAGAAACUCUUUUCUAUAAAUAGAGAUCAUUCUCUCACAAUAUUUUCUAAUAUCAUUUGUACUAAAUCAUUCACUAGUACUCACUAAAGGAGAGCUUGAACCUAUGUACUUGUGUAAACCCUUCACAUUUAAUGAGAACUCCUUUACUCCAUGGACGUAGCCAAUCUGGGUGAACCACGUACAUCUUGUGUUUGCUUCCCUGUCCCUAUCCAUUUACAUACUUAUCCACACUAGUGGCCGAAACAAUCUAGCGAAGGUCACAAACUUAACACUUUCUGUUGUACCAAAGUCCUCACUAAUUUUGGGUAUCAACAUUUGGCGCCGUCUGUGGGAACGACACUUAUUCCCACUCUCUUCAGCUUUGUUAAGCUGGUUUCCACCAUUCGUACACUCUCUUUUGACCAGGCAUCUCUUUCUAACAUAGGGAGCGAAAGAAGCCACAUCACACAGAAUGACACCUCUCUUGCACCUGGUGCGAAGCAAUGAAAGAAGGAACAAAAAAAGUUUGCUCUUCAGGCUAAAGUUGAUGAGCUGGAGGCUCAGAACAAUAAGAUAAUGAUGAAGAAUGAGAUCCUCCAAGAGCAGUAUGAGAAGGUCUUCGAGAUGCUCCACAAGGCUAGAUAUACUAAAACACAUGAGCUCAUCACCCCUGUGGAAGUCAACCAUCAACUGGGUGCCCUCCAACAUGGAGGGUCAUUUGCCCUCGACAUGGGUAUUCCUGUUAAGGAACGAGCUACUCAUCAAAAUGGCGACCAACAUGAGACUUAUCUCAACCCAGCUACUUCGACCCGAAGCAGGAGGAGUGGAGGAAGGCAUCUCCUUACAGAAGGAGUGGAGGGAUGGAAAGCUAUCUUUCGCCACUGUCGAGACUUCCUAAAGCAUCGUCGAGACAAUCUUAUCCAGGUAAGCUCGAAGAUCAAUGACCCAAGGGUCUCUGAAAGACUCAGUCCCAUCCCAUGUCCCAAGCCGGCUACCAAUUUGGGGAAGGGACAACAAGUCCUAGAGAAACACAAAGGUAUAGGGGACUCAUAGAUGUUCCGACAGACAUACCUUAGAAGUCAGUACAGCGAGUCCAGGAAAAAAUCACAUGCACUUGAUUAAAUCUUCCUACUUCCAAGAGGAGAUGGAGAUUUACGAAAGAAAGCUCCAGUGGUACAUGACUCCACUCAGGACCCUCUUGUCCUACAACUCUUUAAGGAAGUAAACAAGUUGAAGGCCGAACGACAAGCUAAGAUACCUGAUUAGAACCAACCUAGGCCUGGCCCUCUUACAAAGAGGAUCCUCGACACCCCCUCCAAGCAAAGAUAAAGCAAAAGCUUGACUUGCAACUUUAUACUGGAAAAGAGGACCCGAUUGAGCACCUUAAACUCUUUGAGUCUGCCAUGGCAUAUCAGAUGCACACCGACGAAGAGCGAUGUCUUCUCUUCUCCUCUACCCUCUCUGGCGGAGCUUUAAACUGAUAUUGUCAUCUUCCACCUGCGAUGGUAGACUUAUUUGAGGAAUUGAGGAAACUGUUUGUUUCUCAACACAUUUUCCAGAUCGAUCGCUUGCACUCUGCGAAUCACUUGUACACUAUUCGCAGAAGCCAGACAAGUCAUUACGUAUGUAUGCUGGCCGCUUCAGCCAUGAGUAUUCUCGUUGUGUCGAGGCAGACGACAAGACUGCCCUCAAAGCCUUCACGGCAGGCCUACGUGACUGUUUCUUUAAGUACAUGAUCAAUGCCAACACUUGGAAGACUUACUCUGAGGUGAUGGCGCAAGCUUAUAACCAUGCCUCCGCCGAGGUAAGGACAUACUAAGAGAAACCCCCAACAACCAUCCUUUAUUAGCAAGUGGGGAGUGGAAGCCAGACCCACCCAAAUGAGAAGACCUUAACCUUCCAAACGGCAGCAGUGCCUCCUUCUGCCUUACUUAAUACUUUGCCAAGUCAACAGACAUAUCAAUCUCAGGGCAAAAGGAAAAAUUCUCAUCCUCACCAGUCUCAUUUUAGUAAAAGGGGUAAGGGACAUUAUCGCAAUAACCAAGGGUAUCGCCACGAUAAUGCCCUUCCCCAAGCAGUCAACACAGUGGGCCAAGCACGUGUCAGGACAGGCCCUACCCCGAGGUAUAAGACAUACACACCUUUGAACGCCACAUACGUGGCCAUUUACCUCAGCAUAGCACACCUGAUACCGAAGCCAAUGCCGAGGCAAUCAAGUUACAAGCCCACAAAGAACAUGGGCACGUUUUGCUGCUACCACGAGCAUAACGGCCAUGAUGACAAGAAAUGUAUCACCCUUCGUGAUCAUAUUGAAGGUUUGACACGUGAAGGAAAAAUUGAUCGAUUCCUCCUUCACCCUCCAAUGGGUAACCGUAACCAACGCUAGGUGAAUGUGAUAUAUUCCAUAAGUGAUGGCACACCCAUAUCUAAAUCUUCCAACAUGGCCAUGAAAAAUAGUGAACGAGCUUUAAGGUCUGGCCACCAAGUGUUUCACGUGGAAGACAUCAGGGGAGGCAAGUAUCAAAAGCCUAAUUGGGAUCCAAUAUGUUUCUACCCUGAGGAAGAAAAAGGUAUCAUUUACCCUCAUAACGACCCACUGAUCGUGGAAGCUCACAUAGCCAACUUUGAAGUACGACGAAUCCUGGUAGACACGGGGGCUUCGGUCAAUAUCAUGUUUGCUAAAGCUUUCAGGGCACUUAAUGUAGCUGAACACUUGCUCGAUCGCUUGAUUUCUCCUCUGAUAAGUUUCUCCGGUGAUAUCAUGCAACCUUUGGGGACUAUACACUUACCUUUCACCAUUGGUACAGGCCCUUACACAGCUACCAUUACCAUUAACUUCCUGGUGGUUGAUUGCCCAACGGCAUACAAUGUCAUCUUCGGACGCACAUGCAUCAAUGAUCUCAAGGCCAUGGUAUCCACACAUAUGUUGUUGAUGAAAUUUCCAACCCCUAUGGCAAUGGUUACAUCAGAGGAGAUCAACUUAGUGCACGAUCACGUUACAACACUUCGGUCAAGCAACAACACCUGUUUGUGCCCAAGGAAACCUUUUCUAUACAUGACCAAGUCAUAAAGACCAGCCCGGACGAAGUUAACUUGGAUCUUCACAGUGGCAACAGUCAACUCGACGAUCCUCGGGAUGACUCUUUCACCCAGCAAGCACAACCUGCUAAAGAGCCGGAGAAGGUUUCUAUGUCAAAAGAUUAUCUAGAUCGCAUGGUAAAGAUUAGCACCACCUUGUCACCACCUAUUCGGUUGGCAUUGAUCUCUUUUUUGCAAGAGAACACUAAGGUCUUCACCUGGUCAUACAAGGACAUGCCAGGCAUAUCUCCUGAUAUCAUAUGUCAUCGCUUAAGUAUUAACCCCAAGACCAAGCCGGUGAGACAGAAGCAAAAAUCUUAUGACGCUGAACGAUACGAAGCAAUGAAGGCAGAAGUUGAAAAACUCAAAGGCAUAGGCUUCGUUCGCAAAGUCAAUUACCCAACAUGGGUAGCAAAUGUGGUUCUUGUUAAGAAAAAUUUGACCAAAGAAAGUCUCUUGCUCCAAAAGGUCUUGUGGAGAAUGUGCAUCGACUACACCAACCUAAACAAAUGAUGCCCAAAGGAUAGUUUUCCUCUUCCUCUCAUUGACAGACUUAUAGACUCUAUGGCAGGGUGUGAACUCUUGAGCUUCAUGGAUGCUUGCUCAGGAUACAACUAAAUCCUCAUGAACCCUCUGGACCAAAAACACACAGCCUUCACUACUGACAGGGGACAAUAUUGCUAUAAAGUCAUGCCCUUCGGCCUAAAGAAUGCAGGAGCGACUUAUCAAAGAUUAGUCAAUUCAAUGUUCGCCGAACAGAUUGGGAAAAGCAUCGAAGUUUACGUUGAUGAUAUACUAGUCAAAAGCAAACAUGCUGACCAACACAUCGCUAACUUAUCUGAAACUUUCACCAUUUUGAAGAGGUAUCAAAUGAGGUUGAACCCCAACAAAUGUGCCUUCGGCGUAGGCUCUGGCAAAUUCUUAGGCUUUAUGAUAAGCCAACGAGGCAUUGAGGCUAAUCCCAAGAAGAUCAAAGCAAUCUUCGACAUGAAGGAACCGGUAAUUUCAAAAGACAUCCAGUGCCUUACUAGCAAAGUGGCAGCCUUAACUAGGUUUAUCUUUAAGGCCAUAGACAGAUGUGCUCUUUUCUUCAAAACACUUAAGGGAAGUAAGAAGUACAUUAUAUGGACUGAUGAAUGUGCCGAGGCAUUCAAGAACCUCAAAGACUACAUGAGUAAAGCCCUUUUGUUCCAAACCUGAGGUUGGUGACACUUUCAUUAUCUAUCUGUCAGUAUCGGCUUCAGCAGUAAGUUCCGUUCUCAUUCGAAAUGAUAGUAAUGUUGAACGGCCUGUCUACUACGAUAGCAAGGCCUUACAAGAUGCAAAGACACGAUACUCCAACAUUGGCUCUAGCAUUGGUUAUGUAUGCUCGAAAACUUCGCCCUUACUUCUAAGCACACUCCAUCAUCGUGCUUACCAAUCAUCUUCUUCGACAGAUACUCUAAAAUUCUAACACUUCAAGGCGAAUGAUAAAAUGGGCGAUAGCAUUAGGUGAGUAUGACAUCUUCUACCAACCAAAGCCAGCUAAGAAGGGCCAAGUAGUGGCAGAUUUCAUCGCCGACUUCACAUAUCCUGUUGACAUUGUUUAUACACCUAAAGAAGUGGUUUUAUUACCCUCGGAAGCUCAUAAAAUAGAACCAACAGCCCCAGCAUGGAGUCUAUAUGUUGAUGGCUUGUCCAACCAACAGGGUUGUGGAGCAUGACUGGUCCUUACGACCCUUGACAAAGUGGCGAUGAAGUAUGCUCUUCAUUUCAAAUUCAAGGCGUCGAAUAAUGACGCAGAAUAUGAAACCCUCAUAGCAGGCUUACAUUUGGCCAAACACCUUGGGGUUAAACGAAUUGGUAUCUUCAGUGACUCCCAAUUGGUGGAUAACCAGGUCACCAACAACUUUAAAGCUAAGGAUAGCUCCAUGGUAGCAUAUCCGGCACAAACACAAUUGUUGCUUAAGCACUUCCACUACCAGAUCACCCAAAUUCCUCGAGCGGCAAACAAUCAUACAGAUGGUUUGGCUCGCCUCGCCUCAGUGGUGGAAGACAAAAUUGGGAGAAAAAUUCAGGUCGAAUUGUUGGCAGCACCAAGCACCAUGGUUGCAGAAGUGUGCAACUUACAACAGAUGGAUAGUUGGAUUACCCCGAUUUAUAGAUUCCUUGCUCAUGGCACCCUUCCAAAUGACAAAGUCCAAGCUAAGCAUAUUCGAUACAAGGCUACUUGUUACUUGAUCAUUAAUGACCAGCUCUACAAGCGGGGUUUUAACCUACCAUACCUAAAAUGCCUUACGCCUACAGAGGCAGAAAUUGUCCUUCGGGAAAUACAUGAAGGAGUUUGCAGAGAUCAUGCUGGAUCUCGAUCCCUAGCACACAAGGCUUUUCACCAAGAUAAGUGUCAACGCUACGCAACUAUUUCUCACUCCCAUCCCGAGCCGCUCAUUCCUAUAUUCAGCCCUUGGCCCUUCGCCCAAUGGGGACUUGAUUUGAUCGGCCCAAUGCUUGCAGGGAAGAGUAAGGUUCGUUAUGCAAUCGUUGCAGUUGACUACUUCACAAAGUAGGCUGAAGUAGAACCCUUGGCAACCACUACUGAGGCAAAAAUAGAAGACUUCAUAUGGAAGAACAUCCUUUGUAGAUUCGGCAUUCCCAAUGCGAUAGUCACUGACAACGGGCGACAGUUCAACAACAAUAAGUUCAGGAUGUUCUGCUCUAAGUUCAACAUCAACUUAUGUUUUGCCUUCCCAACUCAUCCCCAAUCUAAUGGACAAGUCGAAGCCAUCAACAAAAUAAUCAAGCGAACUUUGAAAACCAGCUUAGACAAGGCUAAAGGUUGUUGGCCAGAAUUUGUACCCCAAGUUUUUUGGUCAUAUCGCACUUCGUAUCGAACAUCAACAGGAGAAACCUCAUUCUCACUUGCCUUUGGUACAAAGGCAGUUGUCCCAGUUGAGCUUGGGCAAGCAACGUUCUGAGUCCAGAACUACGUGCAAAGAAAAAAUGACAAACAAGUUACCCUCACCUUAGAUCCAGUCGAGGAACACAGAAACCAGGCUCACUUGAGGAAUGUCGCCUACUAGCAGCACAUCUCCAACUACUAUGACUCAAGGGUCAAACCUCGUUCUUUCAAAGUGGGGGACUAGGUAUUGAAGAAAAUAUUACUCUGUGAUAGAGUCCCAAGUGAAGGAACACUUAGUCCAAACUGGGAUGAACCGUUUGAAGUUGUUGGCAUCAGUCACCUUGGUUCCUACAAGCUUAGAAGCUCUUAUCGCAAGACCCUAGGCCAUCCAUGGAACGCUGAUCACUUGAAGUACUAUUACAAGUAAACUCACAUUGUACAAGUGUUAAGCUUCAGUCGUUCGGCAUCCUAUGUAACGAAGACUAUUUCGCAUGAAUUCAAUAAAAAGGUGAUUUAGACAACUUGGUCCUAAUCCUCUUACAUUCCUAGCAAUGAAACACUCGGGUUCAAAGCUUCAACAUGAAUGUUUCCAACAUGAAACAAAGUCUAAGUAUAUGUCAAUAAGACUAAACCAAUAAAUGAACAGUUUCACAGUAUAUUCGUUCAAUCAUACAUUCCAACACAUUCAAACAUAAGCCAACUGUACUUUGAAAAGGUUCAACAUACUUUGUGUCAUUCGACACUUGCUACAAUGUGCCUCGACACCUUGCCCUUAUUCUCACUAACCAGGUGAUGAAAUGUACAACCUGUGCUCUCCUUCAUGCCACCAACCAGGUGAUGAAAUGUACAACCCGUACUCUAAUAUCAUUUGGCAACUUGCCAUUCAUGCCACCAACCAAGUGAAGAAGGAACUCAUCUUCAUGCCACGAACCAGGUGAUGAAAUGUACAACCCGUACUCUCCUUUAUGCCACCAACUAGGCUAUGAAUUGUACAACCUAUACUCUAAUAUCAUUUGGCAACUUGCCAUUCAUGUCACCAACCAGAUGAAGAAUGAACCCAUCUUCGUGCCACCAACCAGGUGAUGAAAUGUGAUGAAAGGUGAUAAAGGAACUUACCUUCGUACCACCAACCAAGUGAUAAAAGCAACUCACCAUUCAUUCCACCUACUAGAAGAUAAGUGGUGCAACUUGUACAUGUGAACUCCUAGCAUUCACAAAUAAUCAAAAACCCUCAAGCUUGACAACUCAACUAGGGGAGCACUUAUGCCCAACAAGAGUUAUAGUCACCAACAAAGUCUUAUUGCAAGCCAACAACAACUUCAGUGCAUGGCAUACGAAAAUCAAGCUAUUCAACCCUCUUGCAUCUGCUUCAGACAUUUCUCUUCUGUAACAAUGCAAACACUACAACUCGUAGAAAGCUUCACACACUCUUGAUCAAGACAGUGUGAAGCAAAACCAAUUUAUGGUGCCAACAAGAGCUUCAUCAAAGGAGUUCAACCACAAUUCUCAAAAGCUUCACACACUCUUGAUCAAGAUAGUGUGAAGCAAAACCAAUUUAUGGUGCCAACAAGAGCUUCAUCAAUGGAGUGCAACCACAAUUCUCAAAAGCUUCACACAUUCUUGAUCAAGACAGUGUGAAGCAAAACCAAUUUAUGGUGCCAACAAGAGCUUCAUCAAUGGAGGGCAACCACAAUUCUCAAAAGCUUCACACACUCUUGAUCAAGACAGUGUGAAGCAAAACCAAUUUAUGGCGCCAACAAGAGCUUCAUCAAAGGAAUUCAACCACAAUUCUCAAAAGCUUCACACACUCUUGAUCAAGACAGUGUGAAGCAAAACCAAUUUAUGGUGCCAACAAAAUCUUCAUCAAAGGAAUUCAACCACAAUUCUCAAAAGCUUCACACACUCUUGAUCAAGACAGUGUGAAGCAAAACCAAUUUAUGGUGCCAACAAAAACUUCAUCAAUGAAGGGCAACUACAACUCACAAUGAAGGGCAACUACAACUCGUAGAAAGCUUCACACACUCUUGAUCAAGACUAUUCGAAGCAAAUUAAAUUUAUAUGGUUCAUCCAAACCUUCGACUACUACAAGGUGUGGCUUGCAUCAUAAUCUCUUGCUCAACAGUGUGGAAGCAAAAUUUGUAUAUGUUGUCUCUCCCACAUUUUCAAAUUUCUAGUUUCCCAAAAAAAAAAAAGGAAAUUCAACAAAGCUUCAUCAAUGGAGGACAACUACAAAUUCUAAAAAGCUUCACACUAUCUUGAUCAAGAUAGUGUGAAGCAAAAUCAAUUCAUGUUACCCAAAAAAGCUUCACCACAAAAGCUUCAUCAAUGGAGGACAACUACAAAUUCUCAAAAGCUUCACACUAUCUUGAUCAAGAUAGUGUGAAGCAAAAUCAAUUCAUGGUACCCAACAAAAACUUCAACUCCAAAGCUUCACUUAUAAAGCUUCAACUCCAAAGCUUCACCUACAAAAGCUUCAACACAAAAGCUUCACCUAUAAAGCUUCAACUCCAAAGUUUCACCUACAAAUCUUCAACUCCAAAGCUUCACCUACAAAAGCUUCAUCUAUAAAGCUUCAACUCCAAAGUUUCACCAACAAAGCUUCAACACAAAAGUUUUACCCAUAAAAACUUCACCCACAAUAGCUUCAACCAUAAAAGCUUCACCAACAAAAGCUUCACCCCCCACAAAAGCUUCACCCACCAUAAAAGCUUCACCUACAAAAGUUUCACCCACAAAAGCUUUACUUACAAAAGUUUCACCUACAAAGCUUCAACACAAAAGCUUCACCUACAAAAGCUUCACACUAUCUUGAUCAAGAUAGUGUGAAGCAAAAUCAAUUCAUGGUACCCAACAAAGCUUCAACCACAAAGCUUCACCUGCAAAGCUUCACCUAUAAAGUAUAUAUAUAUAUUUUUUUUUUUUUUUGAAAAUUCGAAAAUUCAGAAAUUUGAAAAUUCGAAAAUUCAAAAAAAAUUAAAAUUCAAAAAAAAAAUUGCAUAAGCCUCAUCUUCUUUGGGCCUAACAACUUUCAUAACAAAUAUAUAUGAAGGUGGAGUUUUGGGCUACCACUUAGAAAGGAAAAUGGUGAAGUUUUGUUACUUUGGAAACUUGGCUAUUAGCAAGACACCUUCAUCAACUCUCUCGACCGGAGACUUGGGGGACUCAUACCAUAUGCUACUGCACCUUGAUACUCGGAAGUCUCACGACCACUCAAUGACUUGGAUUUUUUCAAGUCUCCAACCAAGAAGUUUUCCCCACUCGAGAAAUUAAGGGAGUAUUACCUCAACACACAUGUUUCGCUCACAAAGCUUCAACAAAAGAAAAAAAUUCAAAGCACUUAGUAAAAAAGGCUUUGGUGUAUUUAACACAAUACGUUGAAAUGAAGUAAAGUUUAUUUAUUGAUAUCUCCGAUAAGUUACAAUAUGUACAUAUACAUGAAUCAAAAUAAACAAACAAGAUGGAGCAUUCACAAAGGUUGCUCAGGGAAAGUCUCAGCAGUCGGCAAAGCCCCAUAAAGAUAAGGCACCGGAGGGUGACCAUUCGAAGCCUCAGUACUAGACAGAACCCCAAAAGGAUGAGGCAUCAGAGGUUAAUCAUUUGGAGCUUCAUUACGUGGUACAGCCCCAGAAGACGAAGACGAUAAAUGCCUUUGGAACAAACCCACAAACCUCUGAUGAUCAAGUAAAAUUUGACCAUCAGAUCCUGCAGCUGGUCAAGCUUCCUCUUCAUGUUUGUAGCAUAGUCAUGUGCGAGUCUGUGCAACUGUUUAUUCUCAUGCUUGAGCCCUCUAAUCUCUUGUUUGAAACUUAUCACUUCAGCCGCCAAUGAUUCAACUUGGCGAGUUCGAGCAAAUAGGCGUUGGGCCAUAUUAGACACAUAACCUGCACACUGAACACUGAAAGCCAGAGAAUCCUUAACAGCCAACUCAUCAGACCGUUUGGAAAGUAGUCUGUUAUCUUUGGGAGUGAAAAGGUUCCUGGCCAUCACCGCAGCAGUUAUAUCAUUCUUCAUCACAGAGUCCCCAAUGGUAAGAUGACCAGUAGGGGAUAAGAAGGAUGGGCGCCAUAUGUUGUCUUGAGGAGAUAUAGUUGCCUCUUCACCAAAGUUGAAGUCAAAACGACGGUCAGAUGGGCCAGACAUUUUCAGAAAUGCUGAAGAAGAAAUGAGGUCCAAUAAAUCUCUGAAGUACAAAAAUAAGGGGAAAAUUCCUACAAGCAAUGACUCUCUGAAUGUACUUUUUACACACAAUUGGUGCCCUUAUAAAAGAAAUGGCAACAGGGUCGUUGGUUCAAAAAUCGAAGAGGCACCACUCUUCAAAUUUCGAAGAAGCACCAUUCUCCACACCCAACAUCAACUCAUUGGGUACCACAUAUAACUUUGCCAAAGAUCCCUGACAAAGUUUAGACACAUAAAUUUUGAAGAUCCAGCUACCCUAUUAUUACCCACAAGGGUAAAGGAACAGCACCACUGCUUGAUAACUGGAAAGUCCUUAUGUGUGUCAACCUCCGUGCUCCGUGACAAGGCAGACUGGCAAAAGUGCCCAACCUUUACUCGCAUUCGAGAAAACACUCCUAACAAGAUUGUUUGCUCAAAAAUUGAAGAGGCACCGCUCUCCGAAUCUCGAGAGCCAGACUCCCAACAGGAUUACUUUUUCAAAAAUUGAAGAGGCACCGCUCUUCGAAUCUCAAGAGCUAGACUCCCAAUAGGAUUGCUUUCUUAAAAAUCGAAGAGGCACCAUUCUUCGAAUCUCGAGAGCCAGAUCCCCGACAAGAUUGCUUGUUCGAAAAUGGAAGAAGCAUCGUUCGAACUUCGAGAGCCAUAUUUCCUUGGAUAAAGCUUGUCUGCAAUCUUCACACGCAACAUCAGCUUUCCAGAUACCACAGACCACUUUUUCAAAGUGCUCUGACAAAGUUAAAACACGUGAAGCUUGCAGCUCCCAAUACAUUGAUAUGACCAAGAAGGGUAAAGGAAUAACAUUACUACUUAUUGUUAGGAAGACUCUUAUAUAUGUCGACAUCCAUUCUCCACAGAAAGGCAAACCUGGAAAAAUGUUCAACCUUUCCUCAUAUCUGAUAAGGCACUCCCAAUGAAGCCUCUCGAAAUACCCAGUUUUCUUCCCCCCCCCCCCCAAAUAAUACCUAUGCAAACCAGCCACACCAGAGCAAAAGUAUCUCAUAUCAUCAGGGUCAAAAGUAAAAGUAUCCCAUAUCAUGCUUUUUCCCUAUCUUUUUGUUUACCUUUGUUCUUACCUGCAAGACAAGAAGAAAGAGAACAAUCAGUCAACACUUGGAAUCAAGCUUCCUGUCAGGAACUGACUGCUUGGAACCCCUUGACUAAUUACUUACCUGGCAUUGCUCUCAAGUACUCAUCUUCAACAUCUUAUGCUUCUAAAAAAGAUACCACAUAUGCUUGAGGAACAGAUAGGGCAAGUGAAAAGGAUACAAGGAAGCAUGUGAAGACAAGCGCAACAGAACACGUGUCGAUUCAUCUAUUACUUCGUCAACAGCAAAAGUAUCCCAUAUCAUCAAGGUUGAACGCACUCUUAAUUUGAUGGACUUGUUUUGACCCUCAAAUUCUUGAGUCGGCCUUAUACUCUGGAGGAAACUAGAAAACCCUUCAGCCCAGUUCAAGAAUAAGCAUGUGGAAAGUUACUUCUUCAAAAGUAAAAGUAUCUCAUAUCAUCUUUUCUCCAUUUGCUUCUCAUUAUCCUUGUUGCUGUUUACGACACAAGGAGAAUGAGAACAAUCAACCAGAAGCUGAAGUCGAACCUCUGAUCCAGGUUGCUUGCUUAGAAGUCUGAUUGCUUACAUUGUCUGUUACCUUCUUCGGCAAAUCUCCUAGCUCGGCGACUUGGGGGACUCCUACUAUAGGGUUUGUAUUGCACUUGACCAAGCCCGAAACUACAAGUAAACUUCAAGUGAAAUUGAUACAUUACCUUGUGCAUUUUCAUCGGUUAAAGAUACCACCCCCUAGAUGGAGGAAAAGUACUUCGAGAGAAGAUGCCACAUCUACAUAUGAGACAGAUAAGGCAAGUGAAAAUGAUACCACACUUCGGUACUUAGAAGUUUCGUGGUUACUCAAUGGCUUGGAUCUUGCAAGUCCCCAACCGAGGAGCUUCCCUCACUCGAAAACUUAGGGGAGCACUGUUUGUACCAUACUUGACCAAUCCCAAAACUACUGAGCACCGGUCAACAUUAUACCAUCAAGGACCCAGAAGAGUUUCCCUCCAAAGAGGAGGCCAAUUACAACGUGACACGUGUCGACAUCAGAAGCCAAUCACAACACGACAUGUGUCAAUGUCAAAAUGAAACUAGAAACUCUCUUCUAUAAAUAAAGAUCAUUCUCUCACAAUAUUUCCUAACGUCAUUUGUACUAAAUCAUUCACUAGUACUCACUAAAGGAGAGCUUAAACCUAUGUACUUGUGUAAACCCUUCACAAUUAAUGAGAACUCCUCUACUUCGUGGACGUAACUAAUCUGGGUGAACCACAUACCUUUUGUGUUUGCUUCCCUGUCCCUAUCCAUUUACAUACUUAUCCACACUAGUGACCGGAACAAUCUAGAGAAUGUCACAAACUUAACACUUUCUGUUGUACCAAAGUCCUCACUGAUUUUGGGCAUCAACAAUAUAACAACAUAAUAAACACUCAUAAUUUAUGUAACCAACUGUAAAAAACUGAUCAUCCCCGCUAAUUGCAUGUAUAAUUUUAGUAGUGUUAUAUGUUUAAUAAAUUUUUUUCACAUGUUUCAUAAAUGAACCACCUAUCCAGUAGGCACUUGCUCAAAGGCGGAUCUAUUAAGCGACUUGGGUGGUUUUGGGACCAGUGGAAGUCCAAAAAAUGGUUGUGAGGAUGUUGGAGGAUCACCCAAGUCCAAGGAGGAGAAAUACCAACAAUGGCUUGCCAAAGGACUUUCCAAAAGAUAUCAAGCCAUUAAAAAAAAUUAAAGACACGUGCAGCACAAAGGAGAUUUAAACUCAAAGUUUUCUAUGUUAUCCCUGAUUACUAUCCUAGAUUUAGGGGUUCGACGGAUAAGUCGACUAGAGCCUCACUCCAAGUCUCCUUAAUCUCACAGUUUGUCUCUAAACCUGGUUAUGGCCUUUUUUUGGUCUCUUGUUUGUCUGCUUUACUUUGUCUUGGGGGUGUGGCGCAUGGAGAUAAGAUCUUCGUUAGAUCCUCUUUAUGAGGAUCUCGGGAAUCUUUCAAUCAUAUCUAUUUCUCGUGCAUCGUGUGACCAAUUUUCGUCAGUGGUCGUGCAAUAAACAAGCCGAUGUGGUUGCGAUGGUUGCAGCAAAAAAGAAACUCGAUCUUCCUUCAAAGAAGGCUGCAACUAUUGCGGCUCCUUUAGCCAAAAAGAUAACCAUUUUAACCCCAGUAGUGGCCACUGCUGUGUCGAUUGCACCGAGCAAACGACCUCGCCCAGAGGCCGGGACAACUGGUAACUUUGCCUAGCCCAAAAAAAGUAUCAAGAAAAAGGCAAAGAAGGGAGAGCGGGAGAUUCAUGUUAUUUCAAGUCAGACCACAUGAACGACCACUCUUAAUAUCCCUCUCUCUUCUCCUGUUUCCAGGUCUCGACAACGGUACUGCAAGACCUUUCGACCCCAACAAUGGGUCAGUCGACCAUGGUUUGACCAACCACGUAAGUCGUUGUUGAAGUUGAACCAGUCGUCGCCCUAGUGGUAGAGGAAUUUGCAACUCCGGGGCCAGGCGUUGCCCUUGUUGAUGUCAGCCCAGCAGCCAUUACUCUAGAGAAGGCGGCCACAACGGCCGAAACAAACCUUUCCCCCAAUCCAAAGAAAAAUCUAGUGAUCGUCCUGGAGGAAGAAGUAUAACAAUUUCCUUUAAUAAUGUUCUUCUUUCAUUUUGACUGGAUCUCUCGACUAACAAACAAUCAUCUUUCAUGAACAAGAGAAUAAGAGUGAAGUACCAUUGCUAAUGAUGCGCCAUCAACGAGUUGAACCACCUACUAUAAGUCCCUUGCCUCUGGACAAAAGCAAAGGUGUUGCAUCCUCUUUGGGUGAUCUCCAACCGACGGUCGAGGUGGCUGGCCAGGUCGACCCCCAAUUGGUCGAAGUUUGUUCAGGGCAUGAAGUGGCACCUUCUGUUGAACCAGAAGCAACGACAAAUACGCCAGUUCAUCGCCAAGACCAAAACCUCAGCAUCCCUCAUCAGAAGGUCACUUCGACCUUUGUAAGACUCAUCAUCAUUUUCUUUUAUUAAUUUCCUGUCUUAGAACUCUAAACCAAGAAAAACAUUAAAUGUCAGGUAGAGGCUGUAUCGCUGGCGAGGGAUUAUUCUUUAGAAGUAGAGGCUGCUUGGGUUGUUCGGCAGGUCUAAUAUCAUGGACUUUAUUAACCAGAACUUCGAGCAAUCUGUUGUGCACAUCGAUAUUAUCAUGUAUCUCUUCAAGUAUGCUUUUCACCUCUUGGCUGAACAUUUGUUCAAACUGCUGGGACUGUUCUUCAAAUCGCCGCCGAAGAAAAUAUUUAAAUGAUGGAUCAGAGGCCUCAUCAUUGUCGUUGUCAUAAGCCUCUACCAGUCCUUCAACAAAAACGACUUUUGUCAUUUUUGUGGGGAUUUCUGCAUCAUAAGUUUGACCGUCGAGAUUUACAUCAUUUUCUCAGAGUGUUGUACUUGAGACUUCAUGUGUUACGGCAGUAGGUGUUGCUAACUACGUCAUUCAGUUGUGCACAGGGCAUGCCAACUCGUCAGCAGAGUUCGGCUGGGAAGUAAAAUAUGGUGAUGUAGCGUUGGGCGAGCUGCUGACUUCCUGAUCUUGUGACUGCGGUCGAGGAAGAAACACAUCUCAACCUCCGGGUUCUAAAGCCUAAAGACAAGGUUGCUAGUUUCUUCGAAGUUCACAAAUCGUCAGCGCCAAGUUUGGUCUCGGUAAUUACAUUUGUGAGAGUAUAAGUACACCGAACUGGCACCAGAUUGUACAAACACAAAUACUCGAAAGAGAUAAAUUUAUUGAUUGUAAAUGUGGUUUGGUCGUCAGAAUACCGAACUCUAAAAUGUACUUGCAAAUAUCCAAUCAUAAAACUCGGCUUUCAAUGUGCCAAGCCUAGUAACCUGGUAACACCUCACUUCACUGAGAAAGCUGAUGAAAUGACCUCUACCAACAAGGACUCGGAAAUCCUUGUUGACCGAGACUUGGAUAAAUAACCAAUCGAUCUCGAAGCAGUGUUGUUUAUCCAAACUGAAUGUGCUCUUUGGUGGACUGAUUAUAUGGCUCCAGUGUUGUUUAUCCAAAAUGAAGAUGUCGCUGAUUGCCUUCAUAGUGCUGUAUAUCCAAACUGAAGAUGUGUUGAUGAGAAGAAAGAGAAAGGGAAAAAAAAUCUCAAGGUUGUUGAGAAGCUUUGCGCAGAGUAAUUUGUGUAAGGAUUUGAAGGGCUUUGAAUGAUGCACUCCUUUCUCUAUUUAUAGCAACGAACCCCCCUCAUGGUCGAACUAAAAAUGUACUCGGAUUAGAACUCUUCAACCCAAACUGAUUAGGUUUCAGCCAAUCCUAACCCCUAUAGGACUUUGAACCAAGUUCCUUAACGAACUAGAUUCAUCCCUAAUUCUAAGCAUCUUCAGCUUUUAAGACUCCUUGUUGCACUAGGGUUCGACUACCUCACCCUUAUCUAAACCAAUCCUUCUAGCAAGAGAAUUCGACAGACCUUGACUAGACAGCUCAUGACAAAAUUUUAGAUGAAUGUUACUAGGCCGAGAACAACUCUAAGCUCGGCCCCAAAAAUUAUUUUGGGCCCAAACAGGUACAGUUUAUAUUCAAUUUUAAAUAAAAAAAAUUACAAUAAUUUAUGAUCGCACGAUGUACGAUAAACGAAUGUGAUUUAAGAAUUCCCGAAAUCUUCACAAAGAGAAUCCAUCGGAUCCUCACUCCACACGUACCUUCCUGUACCACUGUAACUUUGGAGGUUUUUCCUCUCUUUCAAUAUAUCUUGGUACUCUUCGACCAUAAAAAAAAAGGACAAGGAUUGUCUGCCUUCCCACUUCUGGUGCCUUCCCGUGCCCUCCUGUUUUGUAUGGUCACGGUUAAACCACGUCAACAUUUUAUAUUUUUUUUAUAGAGAUAAUAAGAUAAAAAUGAAUAGUAAUAUAAAAUAUUAACGUGCAUUAACCGUGACCACACAAACAGAGGGCACGAGAGGACACCAGAAGUGGAAUGACCUGGCAACUUCUGUCCAUUUAAAUAGCAUAGAACCAAGGAAGAAAAUAUCGAUAAUAUCGGCGAAAUAUCGCCGAUAUUAUCGUUUUUUUGGAGAUCCGAAAUUUUUUUAACCAUCCAAAUGAUUUUCAUCAAAAUAUCGCGAUAUUUUCGAUAUUAUCAAUAAUAUCACGACAUAAUACUAAAAUAUACUUAAAUAUGUUGAUAAAACUCAACACAUACUUCACUUGAUCAUAGCCCAAAGGCCGAACAAGCUUGGAUUUUCUAGCAGGGGGGAUGUGGGUUUUAUAGGAAAAUUUGCUUGCUCACUGCCCUCACAUGGGCGAUGUGGGACUCGCCCAGUGGGAGAGAAAAUCAGAAUUUUCGGUCGAAAAUUUACACCCACUUUAAACAGCCAUAACUUUGUCAAAACUCAACGUAAUCAAGCAAGACAAAAACGAAAGUUGUAGCCCUCGAAGAGACGAAGAGAAUGGUACCUCACACGACAUCUGAAUCGUCGUGGUUUGGCCGGAAAAUUCCUCGAAAGUCACUGAGGUCGCCGGAAACUGGGUAAGAUUCAAAUGAGUAUAACUUUUUCAAUACUCAACGAAAUUGAGUGAAACAAAAAGGAAAGUUGUACUAAUCGAUGAGACGAAGAGAUUGAUACCUUGAACGCCAGCCAACUCGCCGUGGUUUGGCCGGAAAUUGUCUCGAAAGCCACUGAGGUCGCCGGAAACUGGGUAAGAUUCAAAUGAGUAUAACUUUUUCAAUAAGCAACGAAAUUGAGUGAAACAAAAAGGAAAGUUGUAGCCCUCGAAGAGACGAAGAGAAUGGUACCUCACACGACGUCUGACUCGUUGUGUUUUGGCCGGAAAUUUCCUCUAAAGCCACUGAGGUCGCCGGAAACUGGGUAAGAUUCAAAUUAGUAUAACUUUUUCAAUACUCAACGAAAUUGAGUGAAACAAAAAGGAAAGUUGUACUACUCGACGAGACGAAGAGAUUGAUACCUUGCACGCCAGCCAAAAUUCAAUUGACACACUCCUGGCUUCCAAAAUUCAAUUCUUUUACUUUAUAUAAACUUGAAAAAACAUAAUCGGCAUCCAAAUUAAAGUUUAGUCUUAUUCAAUGUAUUGAUUUUCAAUCGUUAAUUGAUAUACUAUAAUUUGGAACUUCAACGCCUAGACGCAUGCUUAUGUGUAAGAAAUUUAAAGUGUCAAAUUCGGCACAUUAUUCUUCAUCAUUUUAUUCACUUCCUUUUUUUUUUUUUUUAAUAUCCUAAAUAAAACCUCCAAAUAUUGUACUAAUUAAUUAUAUAUAAAUGAUUAUGGUGUGUUUAAACUUCUUUCAUUAAUUACUACAUAUUUUCUACACUCACAAUGUUUGCCAGCUCGCUAUAUAAUCAACUUAAAUCAGUUAAAUCCAUCAUGCAAUGCAUUUCCUUCCAAUUUUUUGUGAUAAACUAAUAGAUAAUUGACUAAAUAAACAUCCUACAAAGUUUCAUUAAAAAUUUCCAAGUUUUUCUUACAAUUUCCGUGGUUUCCAUGUAAUUUUUAUCGAUAUCGAUAUUAUCCCGAUAUUUCCAUCGAUAUUUCCGUGUUUUCGGACUACCGAUAUUUCCGAUAUUACCGAUAUUUUCUUCCUUGCAUAGAACCACGUGAAAUCACAUUCAACUCAUAGUUUUUUUAUUCAAACCAUUUUAAGAAAAAAAUUAAAGCCCGAAAGACUUUAAACCUUCAGUCUCAGACUUCAAUUCAUCCAACCCAAUCUCAUUUCACCAUACCAUAUUCCAAUUUCCUAAUUAGUUAUCCUCACCCCCCACCCAAUCGUACCAAUUCUUCUAAAUUGCAAAAUAUUAGUGAUCUUAAAAAAAAUAUGAAAAAGGUCGCAUCGAGUAUUUUAAUAUGUACAUUUAUUUAGAGUGCGGAUAUACUCAUCCGUUUCUUUUAUUUCUCCACCUACUUUUUAAUAAAAAGGUUAUUCAGAGAUUUACACCUAGAAGCUGUGUUGAUUUUUAAUGUUCCAACUUCCAAUGAACUACGUUGCUCUCUCCGGCUCCUUUUCUUUCUCUACACCCUCACAAUAUAUCCUCAUUUUCUUGUUUUUUCUUUUUUAAUUUUUUGUUAUUCUUGUUAGUCACCAGAUUUGUUAAUUUUGGAAUUUUAGUUAUUAGGUUAUUUUUGGGAGCAGCCUCUCCAUAAAUGGGGGUAAGGCUAGCCGACAUUCACCUCUCCCAGACCCUGCGUAAAGCGGGAGCCUUGUGCACUGGGUACGACAUUUUUUUAGUUAUUAGGUUAUUUUUAAAUAAUAUCUUAGGUUAUUUUUAAAUUUUUUUUAUUGGAUAUAAUUGUGAUUCCUUACUUGACUAAGUUGACAUUCAAUUAAGAGAGUAUUAAAGAUAAAAUUUAGUAAUUAAUUAUAUUUUUAAUGUGUGAUUUUUCUCCUUAUCAUGGACAUGAGAGCUUGAUAAGGUUGUAUUCAGUUGCUCAGGUCUUUAGACCAUCUCUAAAAAAGAUGUCAAAUUUUUAAACAAAAAUUUAAAUCUAAAAGCAUAUGUGGCACAUUGAUUUUUUGUAAAUUUUGUUCUCCAACCAUAUGUCAAAUUUAAACUAUUAUUAAUUCUGUUAUUUACUUUUCAUAAUUGUAUUUGUAAUUUUGAAAGAAAAGAUAAUACAAAAAUUAUAAAAACCCUUUAUUAUCCACUAAAAAUAGAUUUGAAGCUCCUGUCAAAUUUGAUAGCAACUUCAUCUGUUGUCAUUCCAUGUCAUUCCAUAUAGGAAUUGACAUUUUGGUUGGAAAACACUAGUGUUGUUUCUUUUCUUUUUUUUACCAUUAUUGUUAAUGUGAAAUUUUUGACAUCUCCUUUGGAGAUACUCUCAGAGAUGUUGAACUACAAGUGGAUUAAAUGUGGACCUUACCAAUUUAAUAAGGAUAUUUUUGUCUUUUUUCGAGAAAAAAAAAUUCACGUGUUAGCUCCAGAAUUUUUCAAAUUAUUUUUUGCUCUCCUAUUAGUACCCGAGUUGUCCUACCAAAUAAAAAAUAUAUAUAUACCUUUGAAAUUAGCAAGCCUUUCGUAGUGUAGUUAUGGUGGUAGAUAGAAGGUCGUUAUAAUGCUAGCUAAAAAAAUAGUCAAAAAUAGAGCGCCGGGAAGAGAAAGACGUCUUUGGACUUGAUUAAUAAUGUGGAGAAAGUAGUUAAAAGUCUGGUGGGGAGACUAAUGAACAUAAUAAUUAUGUAUAUUAGAUGACAAUGGUCAAUUGAAUGAAAUAAUGGUUUUGAAAUUUCAUUCAGGUAGGAACCAGCGACCACCAUAUUUGACAUUUCUUAAAAGAGACAUCAUGCCAGCACAAAAUCAAUCAUUUUCGGAAUGAAUUCCGUCAUGUUAGGCAUGCUUCCGAUUGGAUAAUUGAUUCAAACCCGAGCUAUUGCAAACAUGGUGUGCAAUUGUCCGAAUUAAAGUACCACGAACAAUGGCAUGAAUUUGAGAAGAACUUCAAUGUGACACUACAAGAAAUAUAUAUUCACUAGGUACAGAUGUGGAAGUGUCUCUACUUUUCUUUGCAGAGACAGAAAACUUGUCUACUUAACUAAUAGAGACAAUGCAUCUACAAAUUAGUGAUCUGUUUGUUUCAUUGGUGUAGCUAUUGAUGAUUCGAGACACAAGAUUCGUCCCUUAAAUUUUUCUGAAUAUUAUAGUUAGACUUUGGCACAGGUCUCGAUGCUUGAUGUUGCACCUUUGCAGGAGGUUUGUAACUUAAUUAGUUAGUUCAGAGCAAUUAUUGUAGCAUGAUUCAAUCGCCCCCUUCGCAUUUUACACAUUUGAAAAUAUGGUUCCUCAAUAGGAUGGCAAUACUAGAAAUUUGAUCAACCGUUAUGGAUUCGGUCGUGGCUAUUGAUGUUAUUGGCUGAGUAACCAUUGAAAGGCUUCUUUUUUUUUUACUUUUUUUUUUGAAAGAAAUAAACUAAAUUAAACAAUAGAGUCACAAGGGUCUUCCGUACAUAAAGUAUCACACAUCAACGCAUGUCUAGCAGGAGACGGAGAAGUACAAACCCAAAAUAUAUCAUAAGGAUAUAGUGACAAUAAUUGGCCAAAGACAAUUCCAUUAUACACAUGAAAUCAUUUGAAUGAUAAAUCAUAUCAUACUUAGAGAGAUCAUCUUACAUAAGUUUUUUCCCAUGCAUUUUGGGUCUAUGAAGUGCCACAACCAUUUUAAUCUUUUCCACACUUAAAAAUAGAACAAGAUAAAUAUUUUCAUCUGAGAUUAUGUCGCAGCCUCAAAUGUAGCAGCUUCUUCGUACACUUAAUUAUGUGUGAACUUCAAUUCAUGUUGUUGUUUGGAAGUCAACAUUCAGCAGCUUCGGAUAUUUUGGGUAGGCAAAAAACAAGUCUCUUGACUUUAAUGUCAAAAAACUGGAGAAAAAACAAUUAAGUCCACGUACACACUUCCUUAGUUCCACUACCAUAACACUAUAAAAUACACCACAUUAGCAUCCACUUGCAAACCUCGGCUUUCCUUAACCCUUCUCUUCUUCAUCUCUAUAAUUCUCAACCCCUCUCUCAGUUAGCCAUGGUGGACGGGGAGCAAGUCAGACCGCUAGCCCCUGCCGCUAUCCACCCAAGCAGCGACGCCGAUGAGGCUGCUUUUCACUUGAAAAAAGUUAGACGAAGAAAGUUCAUCAAGUGCUGCGGCUGCAUAACAGCUGUGAUCUUAAUCCAAGCCGUUGUGAUCAUAAUAUUAGCUUUCACUGUGUUCCGUGUGAAGGAGCCAAAGAUCAAGAUGAAUAAGAUCACGAUUACAAGGCUGGAGUUGAUCAACAACAACACAGCCCCUAAGCCAGGCUCAAACCUGUCACUAAUAGCCGAUGUGUCGGUGAAAAAUCCCAACUUCGCCUCGUUCAAGUAUACCAACACCACCACGACCUUGUAUUAUCACGGCGUGGUGGUGGGGGAGGCUCAUGGCGCACCUGGUCAUGCUAAGGCUCGACGGACCAUGAGGAUGAAUAUCACGGUUGAUAUGAUCACAGACCGGCUCACGUCCGACCCCAACUUGAGGGCGGAUUUCAAUUCUGGGUUGAUGACCAUGAGUAGCUAUUCUAGAAUUCCAGGAAGGGUGAAGAUGUUGAAUAUUAUCAAGAAACAUGUGAUUGUGAAAAUGAAUUGUACUAUGACUGUUAAUAUUUCCAGCCAGGCAAUUCAAGAACAAAAAUGUAAGAGGAAGGUUAAGCUCUAGGUUUUAUUGGGGUUUUUGUAUACUUUAUUUAUUGUGUUUUUAGUAGAAGAUGGAGUAAUAAUAUAGGUUUUUGGACACGAUAUAUAUCAUACGUUCAUAUGUAAAACAGUAAAAGCAUUGAGUGUGCUCCUUGUAUAGAUUUUUUCCUUCACUUUUCUCAUAUUGGAUUUUUCAUAUUUAGUUUACCAUCCAACUCCAUGUUUUUCCUUCCUCUUUUUAGUCAUGUUAAGUGUGGUAACCAAAAUAGUCUCUUCGUGAGCUAUCCCCUAUCUCCCCUGUGAGAGCAUAUGAGGAUCUUUUCCAGAUUCUCUUUUCCGGAUUCCCCAUCUUUAUAAGGAUUUAAAGGAUUCUUUAAUUAUGUUCGUUCAUUAUAAAUUGCACGAUCAAUUUUCAUCUAAUACUUUUUGUAUUUAAAUUUUUAAUAAAAAAUUUAAAAUAAUUUCCUACUGCACAAUACAAACAUAAUUAAAAAAAUUUCGGAUCCUCACACAAAUGAUCGGAGAGAAUACUCGUUCUUCCAACCCAUGCUCAAUUGUCAAGGCAAUUGGGUAAUUAUUGCCCAAAAAACGGAAAAUCUUACUCCUGGGCCCAGAGCUGCCUGAAUACCCAGUCAUACAAUCCUUGCCCGAUCCUGCUCCCGAGUGGUCUGAAGUCAGCCAAGUUCAGCACGACCCGACGAACCCAGCCCCGCAGGUGACGACAACUUGGAGCUGACGACCCAGAAGGCGUUGAACUCGUCGAGGUAAAUGAAGCCGUCGUUGUCGGUGUCGAGAUCGAUCGCGCUUGAGCUCGUCGUCGGAGAUGGAGUAUUGGGUCUAUCUAGCUUUCCCAAUUUGUCAUGGACUUUUUGCUUAUCUGUUUAUUGGGUUAGUUGGCCUUACCCAAAUAUAAUACUUUAUAUUAUUUAAUGGAAGAUGCUCUUUGGAAAAAGUGUGGUAACCAAAUUAUACCGCCAAGAUUAUUACAUGCCAGCAAAGAGUCUAGAAGGAAGGAAAUGUCGCCCAACCUUCUACAAGCCAAAAGUAGAAGAGUAAAAUUCUCUUCCUUUUUUUUUGACAAAAAAAAAAACUCUAUACUCUCUUCCUUCUUAUUCUCAUCUCUUUCUCUUUUCUUUUCUCGUACUUUUCUUUUAUCUUAUUUUUUUAAUAUAAAAUGUUAACGUAACAUAAUUAUGUGAUAGGAUCCUUCUUCAUUUUUUUCAUCUCUUCACGCUUCUGGUUCCUCUUGUUCAAUCUUGAGUAAAAUUCUCUUCCUUUUUUUGACAAAAAAAAUAUCUUCCUUCUUAUUCUCAUCUCUUUUUCUUUCCUCUUCUCAUACUUUUUUUUAUCUUUUUUUUAAUAUAAAAUGUUGACAUGACAUAAUUAUAGGAUAGGAUCCUCUCUCGAUCCUUCAGAUCCUUCUUCAUCUUCUUUCAUCUCUUCACGCUUCUGGUUCCUCUUGUUCAAUCUUCUUCUUCUUCUUCUUCUUCAAUCCUACUUUUUCUUCUUCAUUUUUUCUGUUUGUCUCUUGGGAACUUCUAUGCACCCUAUUUUUCAAAAUGACGAGCGAAGUUCGUUGUUCAAGACGACUACGACGUUUCCGGUUACUAGUUCCAGGGAAGCCACCACGCCGACUCCGGAGAAGCUAGGAUGCCGACUCAGACUGUAAAGAAGAAGGAACUUGAGGAUCUGAAUGUGUAUGAUCCGAAAAGGAUCCUAUUCCCUUAGUUAUAACGCUUUAAUAAGAGGGAAGAAGAGAAAAAAGAAUCCUCCUUGAAAGUAAAUCCCAUGCUUAACACGCAUUAAAUGAGGAAAGCGUAGCUAGGGAAAUUUGGGAUUUGGAUCCCAUUCGGAUCCAAACGGUGGGGAUCCUAGGGAUCCUCACAUCUUAGUCAUUCAUUGUUCAUCGUGUGGUCAGAAAUCAUUUGAAUAUUUUAUUUAAAAUUAAACACAAAUAGUACCUGAAAAAAAACUGGCUGCACGAUUUACGAUGAAUGGUUAAGAUGUGAGGAUCCCUAAGAUUCCUGCACAGAGGAUUCGAAAAUGAUCAUCAUUAGGAAAUUUUCCCAUCAUAAAAGCCUUCAGAAGAGGAAGACUCACUUAUGCAUACAACUUUUCUCCCAUGCGCAUGGGUUGAUCAUUGUCCGUAUUAACUAAUUAGAUGUCAAAUUUUAAUCAUAAAAUUCAGGGUAAAUUACAUAAAACUACUUCAACUAUUAGGUCUAUUUAUACCAUAUUUAGGGCCUCGUAUUUAGAUCUCGUACAAAUACUCGGAGGACUUAAAUGUAAUUAUGUGAUAAAGGAAGGGGCAAAUAUAUAAUAAGUGAUGAGCCCUUAUUCUAUAAAAUGACUCAUCACCCUCACAAUUAGAGGAGGCUAAUUCCUAGGCCCUCUCACCCCCUCUCAAAGCUCUCACUCUUAGAGCUCUCUCUCCCUUAGAUAAAUACAUAAUCAGUGUGGACGUAGCCCAAACCUUGGGGUGAACCACAAUACAUCUUGUGUUAUUUACAUUUCUUGCAGAUUCACGAUCGGAUUUACGUUGUUCCAAGACCUCCGGUUUUGUGCAUCAACAUUUGGCGCCGUCUGUGGGAAUCGACACGAAAAACUAUGUCGGUUCUCUUUCAUUUUUUCACCUCCGCCGUGAAUCUGCAAAGUCACAGAAACCCAGAAACCAAAGCCACUGCAAAACCCAUAUCUCAAAAAUGCAUAAACGAAAACUCCGAAACUCAACCACAGUUUCUUUUCUCUCUCCUUCUCCCUUCAGUAUCUCCUUUUGCAAUUGGUUUUGCUCACCAGCUGAUGAGCAAACAUGUUUCACCAGCCAAAUCUAAAGCUACCCAUCUCAUGGUUUUCUACCAUUUGAAGGAAAGCUUGUGUUUUUUACCUUUUGCUUCGUUUAAGGUGGUCUGGGCGGUGAAGAGUUAAAUUUCUUUUCGAUUCGUUUGUUUUCCACCGAUAUAUUGAAUCUCUGCAUAAAUUUCAGGGAACCCAUUUGGCCAGUGGCCGUGGAGAAUGCAGGAUUCGAAUAAAAGAAAUUCAUAUCUCCUCCUAGCUCAGUGGGCCCAUUCCGGCUCCUACUCUUCCUUGCUCGAAGCCCCUCACUUGCAUCUCCGGCCCCGUUUUCUUCUUAUUUCAGAUCUCCAACGCGACGCUCAACUCCAACUCCAUCCUCAUCGCCAUCUUCUCCCCCCGACUCUCACUUCAGGGUGUCAUCGAGAUCAAUUUUGCCUUUGUGUAGAUUGGGUGCGCAGAGAGAUUGGGUACGCCAUCCAGUGGAGGCCCCACCCACGACUGACGUGACAGCCCAGAACGCCCUCAGAGUAAGGAUGAAAGACGUCCAAGGCAUGCCUAGCACCGCCGGUGGGCUCGCCUUGCGUCUCUGCCAGCUCUGCUUCACCGCAAUCUCUCUCUCCAUCAUGGCCACCACCUCCGAUUUUCCCACCGUCAACGCCUUCUGCUACCUUGUCGCUGUUAUUAGCUUGCAAUGGGGUGGAGUUUGUCAAUGGCGAUUUUUUAUUUGAAUGCUCUUUUGGUGGGGCAGAGUUUGUGCAAUUGCAAGGCUGUGUGUUUCUUCUCCAUUGGAGAUGGGGUCAAGCAUCUGGGUCCGCAUGAUCAUGGCAAUCAGGCUCUUGUCGAGGAAGAACCUGUGUUAAUUUGACCGUGUUGGGACUGAUCUAGUUAAAGAGGAUCGAGGCAUUCAUAGAGGCAUUGCAAUGCAUUCUUAUACGACAAGCUUGAAUCGCCAGGCCGCGAGAUCAACAACUCACCAAGAAACGAAAUCAAAUCCAAGUCCCUCGGGGCGAGCAUCUCAGUGUCGUCGUCAGUGAUGGUAUCGUGAGUCAAGCAGCAUUCUCUCUCGUGGGUCCUGGUUAGAAUAAUCUGGGUGAAAUCACUUUGCGACUUCACGUAGAACAAAGACCCAAAGUAAAGCAGAUUAAGAAGCUCAUCGAUGGUGGAUUUUGGUUUUGCAUUUUGUUGUGCGGGGAUUGGUGGUGGUAAUCACAGUCUCUCUAUCCCUCAACACAAAAAAAAACCCAAAAGUUGGAUCUAUAUACUCUCCACAUGUUUGCUUAAAGAGAAGCUGAAGGGAGACAAAAACAACAUUUUUGUAUCUAUAAAAGCCAUGUUCAUCACAAGGAAUCAAGCCAUUGGCCUUCUGUUGAUUUUCUUGGGCAUCUCCGACUUGCGCAACGAUUGCGUUUCCGGAGCUGGAUGUUUAAACGAGAAGGGGGAGAAUCUGAGGAAGCCUCGAGUUUUCAACUCUAAGCCCCACCACAAGUGGGUUGGACCCAGCGGCCACCGCCUGGUCAUGGUUGACAUGAACGGCUCCGGGGACUUCCAGUCUGUCCAGUCCACCGUCAAUGUAGUCCCGGUGAACAACACGGUCAAUGUUGUCAUCCUAAUCAAGUUCGGAUGUUCCAUAGAAAAAGUGGGAGUGCCGACGACGAAGCUGUACACUUAUGUAUUGCGGUGCCGACGACAGUCUGAAGAAGUUGGAGUACCUUUCCCUGGCAUCCAAAGUCUGUUCAAAAGCUCGAAACGCAUCUAAGGUUUGGGGACAAAGUUCUAGCAGAAGGCUGCUUUUGCCCUUGGGAAGAUCUACAAGGAUUUUCUAUUAAUAAUCAUGUUGUUAUUGUCUGCCAUUUUCUAAAAGACAGCAAAAGCAAAGCAAAAUAGAAGAAAAAGACAGAGACAGAGACCCCGCCAUCUGCCAUCUACAAUCUUCAAAGUAAAGCAAAGUAAAGAGAACUUCACUUUACUUUUGUCUGCCAUCUGCAAAGGGUAAUGCACCUGGACUUCAGCAACAGAAUAAUAAAAUGCAAUAAAAGAGAGAGGUACGGGGAAAAGAGAAAAACAAAAGCAAAAAGCAAAAGAGAAAGCAAAAGCAAGGAAUAAACACCCCACCAGAAUGAUGUGAUUUACUUUUCUUGUUUUUUGUAUGAUGUGAUUUAUUUUUCUUAUCUUUUGGAGACAUCUGUAUAAACCCUAUCAGAGGGUAAUAGUAAAAAAAAAAAAAGGGCAAAGCCCAAAAUAAAUGGGCUGGAAUGUUGUGUGAGGGCGAAGGUCCAUAAGCCCAAAAUAGCUCCAACCAGACGAUCAAAAGUACGCUCAGUACUCCACAAUUAUUCAGCAACCUACCGCUAUUACCACCAACUAGGUGAUCAAAAGUACGCCCAGUACUUCAUAUUAUACAUGAGCAUUACUCAUGUUAAUCAUACAUAAACAUUCAUGAGCAUCACUCAUAUCAAUCAUACAUAAACAUUCAUGAGCAUCACUCAUGUCAACAUUCAUGAGCAUCACUCAUGUCAACAUCUAUGAGCAUCACUCAUGUCAAAUCAAACAUUCAUGAGCAUCACUCAUGUCAAUCAAACAUUCAUGAGCAUCACUCAUGUCAAUCAGCUUCAAAAGCUUCAUUUACAAAAGCUCUAGCUUCAAAAGCUUCAUUUAUAGAGCUAUAGCUUCAAAAACUUCAUUUACAAAAGUUCUAGCUUCGAAAGCUUCAUUUGCAAAGCUACAACUUCAAAAGCUUCAUUUACAAAAGCUCUAGCUUCGAAAGCUUCAUUUACAGAGCUACAACUUCAAAAGCUUCAUUUACAAAAGCUCUAGCUUCGAAAGCUUCAUUUACAGAGCUACAGCUUCAAAAGCUUCAUUUACAAAAGCUCUAGCUUCGAAAGCUUCAUUUACAGAGCUACAGCUUUAAAAGUUUCAUUUACAAAAGCUCUAACUUCGAAAGCUUCAUUUACAGAGCUACAGCUUCAAAAGCUUCAUUUACAAAAGCUCUAGCUUCAAAAGCAUCAUUUACAGAGCUCCAGCUUCAAAGCUUCACUUACAAAGCUUCAGUGUAGGGUAUACAAAUACCGCCUCCGAACAACCGCCACUUUGGCCCAUACAUGGAUUCAAUUUGAAGUCUCUAGCCAACAGACUCUAUUGACCAAAGACUUAGGGGACUACAUUAUGUACUAUAUAUUGGGCCUUAACUGGGCCUCAUGAAAAUACUUGGGGGACUUAGCCCAUUAUCUAUGUACUGAGGAGCGAACCCUUAUUCUAUAAAAGAGACUCCCUUACUUUCAUUAGAAAGCACUCAUGAAAAAUACUUGGGGGACUUAGCCCAUCACUUAUGUAUUGAGAAGCGAGCCCUUAUUUUAUAAAAGAGACUCCCUCACCUUUGUUAGAGAGCAUCGUCGCUAACUGAGCAACCGCCUAGUCGUGAGCAUCACUCCUAAUCCAUCAUUUAUGUAUUGAAGAGCGAGCCCUUAUUCUAUAAAAGGGACUCCCUCACCAUUAUUAGAGAGCAUCAACUCUAGCCCAUCAUUCAUGUAUUGAGGAGCGAGCCUUUAUUCUAUAAAAGGGACUCCUUCACCUUCAAACGCCACAAAGCCGAGCCAACCAAGGCAACAUAAGCCACAAGCCGAGUAGCCUCGCAACGUGUGCUACUUCUAGUUGAGCAUCAUUUCAGAUUGAGUACUGCCUCAUAUCGAACAUUAGUUCAAGACAGCAUCUAGUUACUUUAGCCUACACAUGGACUGAAUUUCAAGUCUCCAGCCAAAUGACUCUCUUGACUGAAGACUUGGGGGACUACUGUUUAUACCAUAUUUAGGGCCUCAUAUUUAGAUCUCGUACAAAUACUCGAGGGACUUAAAUGUAAUUAUGUGAUAAAGAAAUGGGCAAAUAUGUAAUAAGUGAAGAGCCCUUAUUCUAUAAAAUGACUCUUCACCCUCACAAUUAGAGGAGGCAAAUUCCUAGGCCCUCUCACCCCCUCUCAAAGCUCUCACUCUUAGAGCUCUCUCUCCCUCAGAUAAAUACAUAAUCAGUGUGGACGUGGCCCAAACCUUGGGGUGAACCAGGAUACAUCUUGUGUUAUUUACAUUUCUUGCAGAUUCACGGUUGGAUUUACGUUGUUCCAAGACCUCCGAUUUUGUACAUCAACAAGGUCAGUCACAGUUUCAUACCUCGUCUUUAAAAAGUUUCAAUGUCAUACAUCAUCUUACAAUUUGUUACAAUUUCAUAUCUUCCGUCAGUUUGUCUAUCAAUUUUUCCGUUAAAUAGUGACAUGGCUUUAAAAAUAAUUAAAUAUUAAAAAUUAAAAAAAUAUCAUUUAAUAUUUUUUCUUUUUCCAUGGGGGACCCACCCCCUUAAACCACCUGUAUCUCUUUCCUCCCCCACUUCUCUCUCUCGCCAUGCGCAGAACCCCCUUAACGCACCUAGGUUUUUUCAUUUGCCAUCACCUUGGAUCCCUUCCACCUAAUCUCCGACCGCGACCUUGACCUUGGAUCCAUUCCACCUAAUCUCCGCCGUCCACUUAUCCUCUUUUUCUUUGUCCUGUGGACCGGCCCUGUCUGCACCCUCCCUCACCAGAUCCCAGCCAUCCAACCUCCGCACCACCAGCCUCACCUCGUAUUUCUUCUUCGUCAGAGGCCGCCAUGGUCACCACCUCAUCAUUUUCACCACCAUUCUUUUGAAUCAAUGCCUACACAUCGACCCACCAAAGCCAAAAAAAAGAAAAUUUGAGGAAAGCAACCCUUAAUAUGAAUCAAAAAAUUUCUCUAGGGGUUGUUUGGUUCCCGGGAAAAUAAAUGUUUCUAAUGGGUUCUUGGGUUUGCAGUGAAGGAUUUUCCGAGAAAAUUUGGGAUUUGAUUUGAUUUGAUUAAUUUGGGAGGUGGGUUGGGGGAAGACGGGAAUGGGUGGGAUCUGGGUUCGGGGCCAACGAGGCUGCUGUUGCAGCGAGAAAGGGAGAAAGGGAGAGAGAAUACAGGAGGAAAGGGGAUGGAUGAUGAAAAAACCCAGGUGGGUUAAGUGGGUUAUGGGCACGACGAGAGAGAGAAGUGGGGGAGGAAAGAGAUACUGGUGGUUUAGGGGAGUGGGUCCCCCAUGGAAAAAGAAAAAAUAUUAAAUGAUUUUUUUAAGCCACGUCACUAUUUAACGGAAGAAUUGACAAACAAACUAACAGAAGGUAUGAAAUUGUAACAAAUUGUAAGAUGAUAUAUGAUAUUGAAACUUUUUAAAGAUGAGGUAUGAAACUGUGACUGACCUAAUAGUUGAGGUAGUUUUAUGUAAUUUACCCAAAAAUUUAAAUUUGACAGCCUAUAUGACAUUUUGACAUCUUUUAAAUUUUUGUUCUCCACCGGUAUGUCAAAUUAAAGUAUUAUUUUAUUACAUUAUUUUCUUUUCAUUUUAUUUUAUUAAACUAUUAUUUUAUGCCCUUCUUUCUGGACUUCUCCUAUCACCUUCUUUCUCUCUUUUCUGAAUCUUUGUAUACUUGCUUCUCUUCUCCAUCAACAACUUAUUGCCCUUUACCAUCACAUCGAUAUACUCGUACUCACCUGAAAUCCAAGGGCCACAACCAAAUUUACUUUUUUUAACCUUUUAAUUUCACUUUUUUUUUUUAUAAAAUCUGUUUGGGCGUUGAGAAAGUGUGGGCUUUUAAAUUACCAGCAGGGAAAGACAACAACUUCUCCUAUUUCGAUUCGCAGGUGGAAGAAUCUUAGUCGAGAGAUUUCACUCUGUAGGCGACGAUCUUCCUUGAAUCGUCUUUUUGUUUAAGAUUCUUGUUUGCUUCGACGAUCUUCCUUAAUGGUGAUGGACUCCACGUUAUGAACCCAAAAUAGGUCUUAAUUGUUAUUGUCUUAAUUGGUGAUUUAGAAAGUUAAUUGAAGGUUUUAUGCUUUAGUUUUUAUUAUUAAGGACGGUUAAAUAUGCCAGCUGGCAUUUUAAGGGGUGGAGUCUGUAUAAAAGGGUGGCCUGCUUAUGCUGGUCAUGUAUCGUCGUAGUGCCUCGUCGGUGACCUCAUUGUGUUGGAAAUCGCACAAUCGCUUAGUUAAUAGUCUCUCUACUUCUUCCUGAAUUUGCCUUUGUUAGGGUAGUGGAGCUCUCGGCUGCCCCCAGUCGUGACCUACUGAUCUAGGUUGCUCUUCCAUGUAUUCGGCUCGUCUAUGCCACGGUUGUGGUGUAUGUGGUACGUUCUUAGCAGAUGAGCGAAUUUCUCCUAAGAUGCCGAUUGAACUUGAGCCGGAUUGAGUGAUUGUUUUUCUCCGUCCGUCUUGCUACCUACUUCGAUGUAAGGUGGAGAAUGCUCCUUGUGGGCUUAGCCGCGAAUGAAAAUUUCGCCUAGAAGAUUGCUCAUGUUGACCAUCGGAGUGUGACCUCAACCGUGAAUGUAUGCUUGUCCGUGGGCCUAGUCGAGAGUGCACACUCCUCCGCACACAAAGACGGGAGUAUAUGCUAUCUCGAAGGUCCAAUCGAGAGUGUACACUGCCCGAACGAUCAGUUCGUGGCUAGUCGAGUGACUGUUUACCGAGACCCUGCUGGAGAGGUUCUUCGUCUACCCUUGUCCUACUUCGAAACACCUCAUCUAGGGCACAUUUCAUCUCAGUGCACGACAAGAGCUAAUUCACCAAGGUCAUUUAUUGUGUGAGGGCGCUCAUAUACUCUAUGACUUGUCGGAACAAGUGUUGUUCGUCAUUCGGAUUGGAAGAGCUUGGAAGAAAUGUAUCUCCUUAAGUAGUGGAAGUGUUAUAGACUCCGGAUGCUAGAUUCGAAUUGGGGAAUGUCAAAUUUGCAUAGAAGUGAGGUGAAAAUGCCCCAGGUUCAAUUGUAGGCCCAGAAACUUGAAGCCGGGAUGGUGAAACUAAUCUUGGACUGAUUUGGGCUGCUUGAAAGGCCACGGGAGUAGGCUGGGCCACAGGAGUGGGCUACUUGGCGAGAGCAGGCUGGGCCACUAAAGUGGGCUGCUCGGUGCGAGGAGGCUGGGCCACAAGAGUGGGCUACUCGACGUGUAGCGCACGUAGGUGUGAGGCUUGGGCUCGGCUCGGCAAUGCAUUAGGCUCACGUUGGAUUUAAGUGGCACAGGCCGAUUUGCCUUAGGCUUGGAGUGACACGGCUUAGGCCAUGGCCUUGGUGCCGUGGGCCUUGAAUGGCACAGCAAGCUUGGAUGACACGGCUUGGGCUGUGGUAAUGGCGCCAUGGACCUCGCCUUGGGUGGCUACCGUGGUGGUUGCCAUGGUAGAGCCUUGUGGUGGUGGUGCCGCUCCACUUAUUGUCACAUUUAGCCUCGUGGAUCGUCGUGGUCCCAUCUCUUGAACGUUGGAAUUUUCGUUCGUUGAAGUUUAUAAAGAAUUUUUGCAAAUAAAAAAUUCUAAAAAUAAGAACGUACGAAAAAUCUACAAAUGGACAAGAAAAUAGUAAACCUUGGAUGCGAGAGUCUUCUACGAGUUUGGGACUCAGCUCUCAAUGAAAGCACCAAUUUGUGGAUGAAAUUUCUUCCUCCUUGCUCUUGAACAAAAUUGCACCUACAAAACAAACAACACCUUAGGUCAAAGCCAAGAGCCUUACGCGCCUAUGAUGCAUGAGGGGCUUUGGCCGAAGAACCUUCGAUGUCAAAGUUAGAAUUUUGAGGGAAAAGUGUUUUGAGAAUUUAGAGAGUUUAGCAAGAGAAUUAGAAUUGAUUUUUGGAGAGAAUGAAGGGGUUUAUAUAGAGGUGUGGCCGGUCUCUUAGGAGGAGGAAGACCGGCCACUUGGUUAGUAUUUUGAGUGAGGUUCAUGAUUUGUAGCUAAUUAGGAAUAAUUGAAUAAUAAAUCAAUUAAUUAGCUAAUUAAUAGAAUAAUUUCCUAAUUGAUUAGCUAAUUAAUAUAAUAAAAGAGGAUUUGAUGAGGAUGGAUGAAAUAGGUUUUGAAUUAUUACCUAUUUUGGGCACUUUUGACUUGGUUGAGGGUUGAUUGCCCACUGCUCGCAUGUAGGAAUCCCGGUGUACCUCAAGGGUAAUUUUGUCCUUUUUACCCAAAAAUCCACAUGUCGCAUCUCGUUUAUUUUUGGCUCCACACACUGGAGAUGCAAAAUCAGUCGAUCAAGGAGCACCUUCAGUUUGGAUAGACAGCACUACUUCGAGGUCGACUAGUUAUUAUCCAAGUCUCGGUCGACAAGGAUUUUCGAGUCCUCGUUGGUAGAGGUCAUCUCAUCAGCCUUCUCAGCGAAUUGAGGUGUUACAAGCUACUAGGCUUGGCACAUUGAACGCCGAGUUUUAUUUUAUGAUUGGAUAUUUGCAAGUGCAUUUUAGAAUUCAGCAUUCCGAUGACCGAACCACAUUUACCAUCAAGACAUUUAUCUCAUUCGAGUAUUUGUGUUCGUAUAGUCUGGUGCCAAUUUGGCAUGCUUAUACUCUUACAAAUAUAAUUAUUGUGACCGAACCCGGCGCUGACGAUUUGUGAACUUCGCAGAACUAGCAGCCUUGUCUUCAGGCUCUAAAACCCGAAGGUCGAGAAGUGUUCCUUCCUUGGCCGCAUUCGUAAAAUCAAGAAUCAGUAGCAUGCUCAAUGCAACAUCAACAUAUUUUACUCCCCGGCCGAGCUUGGCCGAGUUGGCAAGCCCCGUACAUAACCGAAUGACGUAGUUAGCUUAUUAGUUACUCGGCCUGCAUGCCAUGUAUGCUUGGUAGUUUUUUAGGGUCAACACAAUCGAAUACGCAUUCGUGAUCACCAUAUAUAUAGAUGAAUGUUUAUCAAAAAAGAUAACUUGCUUGUUAUUUUAAAGAAAAAUACUAUUGGGGUUUAGGAUUAGUGUGUUAUGCAUAUUAAUUCAUUGCAAGCUAAGACACCUACAUUGUCUCAAUAAUCCUCAACCCUUAGCAAAGAUGGAGGGGGAGUAAGACAGACCACUAGCCCCCGCCAUUCUCCGCCCGAGCAAAGGACGUCGAUGAGGCCGUUUUUCAGUUUAAAAAAAAUUAGAAAAAGAAAGUUCAUCAAGUGAUGUGGCUACAUAAAAGUCGUGGUCUUAAUCCAAACUGUGGUGAUCAUAAUUUUUGCUUUCACUGUGUUCCGAGUGAAGAAUACAAAGAUUAAGUUGAACAAAGUCACGAUUACAAGGCUGAAGUUGAUCAACAACAACACAAUCCCUAAGCCAGACUCUAAGAUUUCGUUAACAGCAGAUGUGUCGAUGAAAAAUCCAAAUGUGGCCUCAUUCAGGUAUAGCAACAAUAGUACCACUCUGUAUUAUCAUGGCCUGGUGGCAGGGACGGAGCCACUAUAGGCCUAGAGGGGGCGGAUGCCCCCACUUAAAUUUUUUUUUUGGGUGCAGAAAAAUUGCACAAUUUUGCAUCUCAAUGACAAACCCUAAUUAAAAUAAAAAUUAAACCCUAUAUGUUAAUUGGUAUCAAGGGAAAUGUGCUAAGGAGACUCUUCCAAAAGUGGACCUCUCCAUGAACUUUCCGUUAGGGGUGGGUUCAAAAAACCGAAAACCAAACCGAACCGAAACCGAAAAAACCGAACCGAACAAAAAAACCGAACCGAAUUGAAAAAACCGAACCGAACCGAAUUCUUUUGGUUCGGUUCGGUUUUAGUGAUAUAGAAACCGAACCGAACCGAACCGAACCGAAUUAAUUAAAUUAAUUUUUUUAUUUAAUUAUUUGUUUUGGAUAUUAUUUUCUAAACCCAAUUUGUAAGUUAAAAUAUGCUAAACCCAAUGUGUUGCCAAACUUUAAGCUCAAAAUAUUAAAAAAAAGUCCUAUAAAAACUUUAAACCCUAACCUAUUAUUUAUCCCCCAUAUAAGGUUCCGGAGCCAAACCUCAUCCUGAAGUACCUACAUCCAUCUCCAUAUAGCACUGUCUACUUUUGUCUCAGCUUUCUUUUCCAAAUCUACUCUCAUAUAACAUGUAACAGAAUCUAUAAACAUUUAUUUCGGGUAGAAUUACUUAGGGAAUUUGUGAUGGAAAAGAAUCCAACACACACACUAAAUAAAUCCACCCACGCAUUUCUUUUACUAAUCAAGUUGUCAACAUGCAGUUACAAGCAAACAACCCUGAUCUUUGAACAACAUCAUACAAUUUAACUUUUCUAAGUCAUUUGUACGAUUUUUGUGUUGUGAUGUUGUUAGUUUGGACUUUGGAAGACUUGAUUGAUGAUUUUAGUUCAACUUUAAAUGUUUAUUUUCAUUGUCUUUGAUUAUAGUUAGAAUGCUUGUGUUAUGAUUGUGUUGGAUACGUUAAAAUUUAAAAUUUCAAUGUUUUUCAUUUUUUGAAAGAAAAAAAAAACAAAAAACCGAAACCGAACCGAAAAAAACCGAACCGAAAAAAAACCGAACCGAAAAAAACCGAAAAAAAAAUGAACCGAACCGAACCGAACCGAAAUUUCGGUUUGGUUUCGGUUUUGGCAAAAAACCGAACCGAAUUAAACCGAACCCACCCCUACUUUCCGUCACCUCAUGUUUUUAAUACAAUCUCGGUACCAACAUCAUUAAACAUUGUGCUAAAAAACAUGAGGUGGUGGAGAGUCCCACUUUGAGAGAGUCUCCUUGCAUUUCUCUUAGUAUCAAUAUGACUGACUUCGCCAACAAUGAUUCUAAGUGUUUUGUAUGAAAAACAUUAUAGAUUAAUAUAUAAGUGUUUGUUUAGUAAAAAAUUUUUAGCUUUUUAAUUGUAACUUUGUUGUUUGAGGAUGCCCCCAUGCAUACAAAUCUCUGGCUUCGUCUCUGCCUGGUGGUGGGGGUAGCUCAUAGUCGGUCGGGAGUCUCUAGGGCUCAACGAACCAUGAGGAUGAAUGUUAUAGUUGACAUCAUCACGAACAGUCUCACGUCCAACCCCAAUGUGAGAUCGAACGUGGAGUCAGGGUUGAUAACCAUGAGUAGCCAUUUUAGAAUUCUUGGGAGGGUGAAGGUGUUGAAUAUUAUCAAGAGACAUGUGGGUUGUGAAAAUGAAUUGUACCAUGACUAUUAAUAUUUCCAGCCAGGCAAUUCAACAACAAAAAUGCUAGAGGAAGGUCAUUCUUUUUAGGAGGAAAAGUUUGUUUUGAGUGUUGUUAUACUCACUCACUUGUCCUAUUUUCUCACUUAACUGACAACUAAAAUAUAGAUGACAAAUCAAUAUAAUGUGGGUGUCGAAAUAGAAAAGAUGAAUGGGUAUGUAUAGUAGCACUAUUUGUUUACUGUCUUUAAUGUAGAUAAUAAUAAGCACCUAACUUGGUUUCCUCAAAUCCUAGCCGUUAAACAGAAAAAUAGAGAGAAAAAACCACUAUACCCAACCCUCUGGUCGGUGGCAAUCCUUGGUUUUUUUUUCCUCUCUUCCUUUUCUUUUUUUUCCUAUCAUCUAAAUUUUUUUUAUCUCCUAGUUGUAGUUGCUCCUUCGCUUUGUCGAUAAAAGCUAUCAUGAUUGUGGCCACUCUCUCGCUAUUUUGAGGGUCUGUUGUAGCGUUUGUGGUCUACUACUGAACCUUGAAUCUUAAAUUGGGAUUGUUGUUCAGCUUUGAGAUUGUGGAUUUUGUGGUUCUCGUAGUUUGUGAGCUUGGAAAGUGAUUAUGAAGAGAAGCUCAACGUUUUUAGAUGCAACUCAUAGGAAUGCUUAUUGCUGACAAUUACAAGUUCAUUCGAAUGGUGUGUGGUUUCCUCGUGGUGCAUUUACGGCAUUUCUCCAACUUACCGUAGGAUUUUAGUUCCCAUGUGUGUUAUCUUCCAUAUUGGGAUCCUCUGCAGCUGAUGAAUUGUAUUGUAUUUUAAUGUUUGUAAUUUUGAAGCCAUGAUUUUCUUUUAGUAUGUGUGCUCUUUUAUUCUUGCUCCAAGGAUUUCCUCUGUGUUUUUUUUCUGGAUAAGGUUUGAUGUAAUACUUACAUUUGAGAUGCAUGUCCUAUAUCAGUUCUUAAUGAAGUUUUAUCUGACCCAUAUACAUAUAUAUAGACAGAGAGUUUGGCCAGGGGCACACGCUUUUGACAUUUUUUUUUUUUUGUUUCACUCAAUAAUGUAUUUCAAGAUUUGAAUCGUCUAUCUUUUAGAUAUUUUUUCAAAGACUAUGUCUACCAAAAAUACCCAAAUCCAAAACCAUAUGACUGUUAGAUCAAAUUUAGUGUUUUUUUUUUAGAACCAUAUUCGUCUAUUUCUUUUAUUGCAAAUGAAUGUCUUAUUGAUUUUGGAUAUGUCUAAUAUUUUGCAAUAAUUGUGUACAAAUGAUCUUCUAAAAUAUAGACGGUUCAGAUUAGUGAAACACAUUACGAAGUGACCCUACAAAGUAGGUAUCAAAAUGUAUGUCAAAAAUGUGUCCUCAGAUAAAAUCUUUUCAAAUUGAAUCUUGCAUCUAAUAAUUGAACGUCUCUACUAACCAUUUUUGGGCCUCUACUAGUUAGGCCUCUAUGGAGGAUUUUUCUUUUUGGGUUGAAACACUUUUAUGUUUUUCUUUUAUGUACUAUUUUGUAACUUCUCAGAAGAACCAUUAUCCAUGCGUUCUAGGGUUAUGUUACUAUGUAAGAUGUAAUUUGUCGGUUGGUCUUUGGUCGUUAAAAGUCUCUACGACCAAAAAAAAAAUGAAAAACUCUCACCGUUCGGUAGUGUUGUUCCAAUAAACUUUUAACAUAUGAUGCAUCAUGCAUUCCUUUUGUUUACUCUUUCAUUUUGAUACCCUUUCUUCAAAAUAUUGAAUCAUUUCAACCCCACACGUUCCCUCUACUUUAAAAGUCAUAACUCGCUCAUUAAAUUAAACAAAAUAUUAAACAAAAAAUUAAACGAAUUACACAAAAUGUAAGAACGAAUGUGUGAUGACUUGCUUCUGUAAGCGUCUUUAAAUAAAUUAAUUAAUUAAUUAAUUAAUUAAUUUAGUUAUGUUUCGAUGCCAACGUUGCUUCGCUGCCAUUUGAUUAUUUCCAAGUUUCUGGCUUUGGGGACUGCCAAAUCCAACUUUGUUACAUCAAGGAAGAUCCGUUGACCAAAUUAUAACAUAUUAUAUGAACACAAAUUAUUUCUGUUUUUUUUUUUUUCUUAAAGAUAGAACUUUAUUAAGAUUAAAUACGAACGGUUACAUUUACAUCUUCUGCAAAAAUAUUAAAAAGAAUUUUGUACAUAUAGAAAUGUGGCGGGGUGUGGGCUACUGCUAAAAGCCUAAAAUUACUUUUUACUAUUUAGUGGGCUAAUUGGGGAUUGUGUGGGGGACUAGGAGCCGAAAACAAAACAAAACCCAAUCCACAAUGGAGGGUGGUAGGCGUAAGUCACUACCACCACUCACCACUCACAUUUUCCCACCAAUUUAAUGCGUCUUCUGGUGUGAGUAUUAAAUGCAGCAGCUGCAGCACCCACCCACCUUCUCACCCCACCCCACCCAAAAAAAAUCACACCCCCCUCCAAUGGCUAAACCCCUCCUUCCCCCUCCCUUCCUCCAAUGUCGUCCACCCCCACCCCCACCUCCAACUCCAACCCCCACUCCCCCACUAAUUAUCUAACUACCCUCGGCCUCGGCUACGGCAUCGCCAUUUCUCUCGGCUUCCUCGUCCUCUUCUCCACCCUCCUCCUCGCCUCCUACAUCUGCUGCCGCGUCUCCCGCCACCGCCACCACCACCACCACCCGCCUCAGCCCCAGAACCCGAAUCCGAGCCCCGAAGGCGUCAUCCUCCCCCGCAUCAUCUUCGUCGCCGAAGACGACAACGAGCAGCAGCAGCAGGAUGAUGAUGGGAACGCCGUCGUCGGGCUCCACCCGAGCGUCAUCAAUUCCUACCCCAAGUUCCCGUUUUCCAAGGAGGCGUCGACCCCCGAUUCGUCCACGUGCUCCAUCUGCCUCUGCGACUACAAGGACGCCGAGAUGCUCCGGAUGAUGCCCGAGUGCCGGCACUACUUCCACCUGUUGUGCCUCGACGCGUGGCUCCGGCUCAAAGGAUCGUGCCCGGUUUGCCGUAACUCGCCGCUGCCGACGCCUCUGUCGACUCCGUUGCAGGAGGUUGUGCCUUUGUCUCAGUACCCGGCCGAUCGGAGAUGGAGGAGGUGACAUAUUGCCCCUGAUUGAUUGAUUGGAUUUCUGUUUUUUUUUUUCACUUUCUUUAUUUAGUUUUGGGUUUUAUUUUUUCUUUCGAUUGUGUUAGUUUUCAAUGGGGUGUGUGGAUUGAGUGGUUGCUUGGUUUCGGGAGAUUAGGAAAUGAAACUUUUUUUUUUUGAGGUUUUGAAAUUGGUGAAGUGGAUUAUGCAACAAAAAACUAAAAUUCAAGGAAUUUAUUUUAAUGUUAAUCAACUGUUUUAUCGAGUGAUGAUAAAGUUUCUGAAUUAUUCUAGUUCACCUAAAGCAUUCAGCUUUUCCGACGAACAACUCUUGUUCAUUAUAUUUGAAUUUACAACUGCUAGUAAAGUAAAGACUGAGUCCCGCUAGACCAACUUGAGCAAAGCAUUCGCCAUUCGGAGAAAGGCUUGUGUUUGUGUUUCUUGCUUGGUAAUACAAAAAAUAAGGGAGUUGUUGUUUCGGCCAAUGCUAAAUUUUGAUAGAAUAGUGAAUCUGCAACUUUGGCAACCCUGUCUGAAUUUGUAAUUUUCAUUUUUCCUUGUUUGAAGGCGUAGUGUUAAUUCCUGGAUUGUAGUGAUUUGAUGGAGAGUCAAUGGUCAUGUGGUGGUCAUGACUCAAACAAUCAUGUACUUUCGAAGUAGCAUAAGACAAAGUUGGCUGCUUUGACAACUAAUCUAACCCUAAACAUGCUAACUACUCUUUUUCUAGUUGCCCUUGCUUGUGCUUUAAUUCUGCUUCUAAUAGGAUUAAAAAGGUCGGACCCAGUGCACAAGGCUCCCGCUUUACGCAGGGUCUGGGAGAGGUGAAUGUCGGCUAGCCUUACCCCUAUUUAUGGAGAGGCUGCUCCCAAGUCUCGAACCCGAGACCUACCGCUCAUGGGCGAAAGCACUUGCUCCCAAGUCUCUAUGAUUCUAUUCUUCUCGAUGGGGGGCCUUCUUUUAUUAUACGACGGAGAAAAAAUCGAAUACAAGACCUUAGUUGAACCAAAAUAAUUUUUAUGCAACGGAAAUACUCUUAUAGUAGCAUCUGUGACUAGAUUAGACGCUUGUAAACGGUUAAGGAACAUUGUCUAACAAAGUCAAAUGUAUGUAUGUGAGCAUAUUGUGCAGUGACAGUACAGCACGUGUUUUUGUGAAGUGUUGCGUCUGAUCCUCUAGUUGUCUCUUGAUCACACUACACCACAAUACUGACCAGUUUUUUGCGGAAUGGAACUGUAUUUCCAUUCAUAUGUUGACUAAUUCACCUCACAUUUUAUCUUGAAUCUCAAGCAAAAUGAUUAAACAAGCCCAGUUGCUUUGACUGGAAUUUGUCUCCCACUUUCUAUAUAGGAAAGUGGUACUGGUAGGGUAGCGAUUUUCGCAUUCCGAUCUUUCCUUCUGCGCUCCUUUCUUUCUUCGUGUUCUUCUGUUCUCUUUUUCUUUAUUCAAUCUAAAGAAAAAAAGAAAAAGGGAGUAAUAAUAAUGCAGUGCGGGAAAAAAUAGGAACACGAGCCUUUAAAAUAAGGAAAACUAAUGAAAAGGGCUUGAAAACUUUGAGUUUUAAUGAUAAGGACAAAAUAAAGGGUAAAGUGAAUAGUAUCAGGAUUGACUUUUUAGUGUAAAAAUGUGGUUUUUCGUUAAAGUGAACAGUACCGGGUGCUUUUCGUUAAAGUUCCCUUUUAAAUAUUGGGAUCGAAAGGAUGGAAAGUAAUGACCACCAUAUUUUUUUAAACGAAGAUCAUCAUUUUCAAUGACUUUUUCAUUUUGAUAUAAAGUGUUCAUAAAGAAGAGAAAUUUUUCAAUGUAUCUAAAAUACGACCGGAACAUUAAAGUUAGUUAUUUAAGUAGAUGAAUACGUGAAAGAAAAUGUCUAUCCACGAAGACCGCCCAAAAACCUCUUUGAUCAAAUAAAAAAGAUGCGAGCUUUAUACUCUCUGACCUCAAAACACAUUUUUAAGGACUUAAUUUUCAUAUCCCAAAACCCAGUUGAACACAGUUUAAGAAAUAUUCUGUUUUCUUGAAAAAAGUUUUCAAAUGUGAACUGUUGAAAAGCACUUCUCAAAACUGCUGCUUUUUUCUAUAGCAGAAAGAUAUGAGGACACCAAAUCUUUUCAAGAACUUAGGAACAUGGAGAGGAGGAGUUCGCAGCUCAAUCUUUGUGUUAAGUGCUUUUGCUCUUCUCAUCUCUAUUGCUACUUUAUCCAAAUUCAACUCUCUCGGAUCGUUUCACGUCACCUAUGCCCUCUGCAGUUAUGUAAACACUGAUCAGAGCCAAAGCAGGAUCGACACCAUGUCACGAAAACUCUCGAAACUGUAAUAAUAAAAUCCAAAUAGAACUUAAGAAGUUCAGAGAUUUGGAACCAAGCCGGGAGAGAUCAGGAUUGGACUCGACUUUCAGCGUUGGAACCGGGACUUUUGCAGCAAGGAUGAGGGAGUUCAAUGUGACUAUAGUCUCAGCAACUAUCAAUCGCGGGGCACCUUUCAACGAAAUGAUAGCACUUCGUGGACUUGUCCCUCUGUACCUGACUAUAAAUCAACGGCUUCCAUUCUUCGAUACACCAUGAGGUUUCUAGACGGGUGGAUAGAUUUUAUGCUGCUGGACUUUGUUCUGUACGAUUGGGAUAGAGUUCUGAGUCCCGGCGGGCUCUUGUGGAUCGACAGCUUCUUUUGUUUGGAGGAUUUGAGUGAUUAUUUGGAAUCCCUGACGAUGUUGAGGUAUAAGAAGCACAAAUGGGUGGUUGUUCCAAAGCUUGAUAAAGAUGAUGAUGAUGGGGAAGUUUUCUUCUCUGCUAUUAGAGAAGCCCGGCAGGCUGUUCCGGUUAAUUACAGAUUGAUCUUAUGUGUCUGAUAAUUACUAUUGAUUUUAUAUGAGCUUAAGUUUUUGGAAUAUGAUGUUAUAAUUGUCAUUACAGUUAGAUGAGAUUGCUGUGAUAGAAGGAAAAUUUUCUGCAAAAUCCAUUUUUGUUUCUUUUGACAAUACGAUAUUACUAAUUAAACUACUCUAAGUUACUGAAUGGGCACUCAAUGCGGGGUGCAAAAGGGUGGAAAUUGUGUUGGUCAACUGGCUUAACUCACGUCACGUAUGCUUGCAAAGUAAGAAUGGUAUAAAACAGGCGGCUCUGCUUCUCAACAGAAGGCAUGAGUUUAGGCAGCCACAAGACACUUUGCAUUGUAGGAGGCAUUAGUUAAUUUUUGAGUGUCCAUUUUUACUUGGUGCAAAUAAGGGUCCACUCAUGUCAUGUUAAAGAAAAAAGACAUUAGAACUGAGGUAGGUUAUCUGGACUUGGAUUCUCUGCCCUCCCAUUUAGGUGCCCUCUCCGUGUCCUCCUGUUUUGUGUGGUCACGGUUAAGCCACGUCAAUAUUUUAUAUUUUUUUUUUUAUAAAAAUAAUAAAACAAAAAGAAAUAGUAAUAUAAAAUGUUGACGUGGCUUAACCGUGACCACAAAAACAGGAGGGCACGAGAAGAGCACAGAAAUUGGAGGGCAGAGAAUCCAAGUCCAGGUUAUCUAGCAUUAAACCUGCCAGGAACCUGUUAAAGUAGCUGACCCAACAGAAAUUCCAAUAGAGUCAUUUGAUUAGAGUAGUUUUCACACCAAGUGAAAUCAGAACGAGGUCGAGUGUCCAAAUCAAAAUGAUCUCAUGUUUUAAUCAUUGUCCCUUGUUCGAUGAACUUAAUAAUGAUGGCAACGAACACAACUGGUGAACUGCUCUACUAAAUAAAAUCUUCUUCUUUAACCCGCUGCGUCUCAGGUUCAAAAAUACGAAUCCAAAGCAAUAUGGAAGGGCCUUUGAGAAAUGGGGCAGAAGGAACCUUUGUGAUUGAUGGGCCUGAGGCCCCUUGUUAUAAUUGGCUAUCAGCCUAUCACUCUAGCUGCAUUUCUUUUUCGUUUGCAAAUAACUGGCUGGAUUUAUGAGUGUCCAUUUGUUGUGACCGUGAGUCGAAAUAAAGUAGCCAGUGAUUGCAUAUUCUCCCUCCACUGGUCCACCAUGAAAGAUUCGAAAGAUGCCAGGGCCCAGGCCAACCAGCAAAUAUGUCAAAAAAAAAAAGAUUCUAAACAACAACAAAGUUAAAAACUUUAAAGUUUUGCAUGACCCUCUUCUAAAGUUUAGAAUAAUACAAAUUUAUCUAAUUGGAGUGAUGAUAAGUACGAUUUACAAAGGUUGAAUAACAAUCACUUUAGACUUUAGAGUGGAGGUGAAAAUUUUUGGAGUUUAAAUGACAGCUUUUAAUCGUAAAUAUGUAUUUUGUGUAAAUUAAAGGAAUAAGAUAAUGUUGGGGAUGUAAUAUUCAAAAUCUUCAUGUGAGAAAUAAAUAAAUUCAUAACUUCUUAGCCACACUAUAAUUUUAUUCAACUUUAAAAGAUUUUAGUAACUUAUACAACUAGUUGUAUAUUGGUUGUAAAAUAAUAAAGUUCAGGAUUAAGUUGGAUGUAAGAAAUAAAAUGUUGUCACAUCAUUUAGGAUAUGAGUUGUGUUGGAUUGGAUUGCUUAUGAAUUUUGUUUAAAUAAAAUAAAAACUUUUGAACGUUGAAAUCUUUAUAUGGGAAAACUAAGUCUUUUGGGAUUAACCCAAGUUAGGAUUAAUGUUUUUUAAGGAGUUAUAAUUAAGUCAAGUAAGAGUUUAAUUCUUGAGCCCUCUCGAGCAAUAACCUCAAGAAUAAACUUAAAUCUCCUUAAGUCAUGAGUAGCUGAUUUUUCGAGACUCUCAAAAAUAGGCAAAAACUCUUGAAUAUGUUCAAAUUUUGAGAAAAAUUUACAAUACUCCACCACUUGAAACUCUUAGAUCCAAUUCAAGGGUAAAUAAUUGUAUAAAAAAAUUGCAAAAAAUUAAAUGGUUUUAAACCUAUUUACCUAAUUCGUCUUUGUAGACUUUUUCUACUAUAUUCGCACUCACAAUUCACUUUCUUUCUUAGCCUCAAAAUUCUAGGGCUAUUUUUAGGUAAAUUAAAGCUUACCUUGACAAGCUCUUAUCACCUAAACCAACCAUUUAAACACCACCAAAUCAUCAAUUAAGUUUUCCCUUUUUUUUCCAUUUCUUGUCUAUUAAGUUACCACAAUUUUAAUUUUUAAAAUUCUAAAUUUGACCCCUAAUGCCUCCCCAGCACAAAAAAUAAAAUAAAAUAAAAUUCGUUGGACAAUACUACCCCCAAUCUGGAUCCACCUCCACCCCACCAUCACAACGCGGAGCCCUAUACGAUGGGAGUGGACCCCACAAAGAACCCAACCAAAGGAAAAAAAAGUCACCCGACCGUCCAAGCCACGCAUGUCCUCACUGCUCCCCGCCACCUGGUUCGCAACCUUUCAAACCAGGUCGGUCACUUUGUUUCAAAUUUCCCCCGAACCAACCGGGUCCGGACCCGAACCUCCAGCCUCGCGCUAAUCAUCAAAAUUAACGGCCCAGAUGUGACCUCUUUUCCCGCACCCUUAUAUAUCCCCGUUCCUAUCCCAACCCUAAAACCCUACUUACUGUCCGUGCUAUCAUUUCCGUUACUCGUCUGAGCGUUUCGGUGCGAUUUUUAUAUACUUUUUCAACUUUUCGGGUUCCGGAUCGGGUUUGGAGAUCAUGGCCGAUGAGAAGGAACACUCCGGAUCGACGGUGGAGGAUGAGCCAUCCCUGUUGGAGAAGAUGGGCGACAAGAUCCACGGCGGUGAUCACCAUUCGUCCUCGUCCUCUUCUUCCGACUCGGAUAACGAGAAAUCGGAGAAGAAGACCGAGUCGGUGAAGGCCAAGGUUUUCCGGAUUUUCGGCCGUGAGAGGCCGGUUCACCAUGUGCUCGGCGGUGGAAAGCGUACGGACAUCUAUUAUCUUUCUCUGAAGUUUUUACUUCCACUACUAUUUGAAAUGAAUACAUAUAUAUAUUAUUUGCGAGUAGUGAUUUAGGGUUUUAGGAAGUUUGGAUUACUGGAUUUGUGUCGGUUGUAUGUUGAUCUGGGAUUUUAGAUGCUUUUAAGCUGUGUUUGGAUGCUUAGAAAAUUUCUGAGCCGAUCGGAGUUUUUCUUUUUGAUUAUCUAUUGCUGUGCUUUAUCGGAUAAGUUGAGUAGUUCCGAUCGGUGAAGUUGAUCUACUAAUUAGUUCAUUAAGUUUUGGAUUCUUCGAUUCCUUUUUCAAUAUUGCAUUAGACUUUGGAUUUUGGAUUUUGGAUUUUGGAUUUUGACGUUGGUGAACUGUUGCAGCUGCUGAUGUGUUCUUGUGGAGAAACAAGAAGGUUUCGGCUGGAGUUCUCAGCGGAGCCACCGUCAUCUGGGUCCUCUUCGAGUUGCUUCAGUACCACCUGCUUACACUUGUUGGCCACAUUCUGAUUGGUGCCCUUGCAAUCUUGUUCCUCUGGUCCAAUGCCCAUGCUUUUAUCCACAAGUAAGGCGCUCGGCCUUUUCGAUUUCAUUGUUUCAUUGUCCGGAUGCUUGUGUAGGAUCUCAAUGUAAUAUAUGGUUAUGUUUGGAUCACUGCCUAAUGGGUUAAUAACUUUGCUUGUGUAGGACUCCUCCUCGUAUCCCUGAAGUUCGCCUUCCUGAAGAACCAUUCCUGCAGGUUGCAUCUGAGCUGAGAGUUCAAAUCAACUGUGCAUUUGCACUGCUUCAUGAUAUUGCAUCUGGGAGAGACUUGAAGAAAUUCCUCGCUGUAAGAAUAUUUGAUCUUUAUAACUCUUUAACACGUCUCCCAAUCAGUAUAAUGUGACUUGAUUUGUUGCUUUUAUUCGUUCGAAACUCAGUAGCUUAAUUUGCAUACAUUACCUGUCAUGGAUUAAUAGCAUUUAGAAUCUGUGCCAUGCUAAAUUUCAUCCUUUAAGUUACCGAGGUUUCGUUGAUUUUGUUGUAUGGUUUUGUUUCUCUGUUAGUUUAAUGAUGUACUGUCGGUUUCAGGUUAUUGCUGGCUUGUGGGUUCUAUCCGUUGUGGGCAAAUGGUGCAACUUCCUGACCUUGUUUUACAUAUGUAAGGGCUAUGGAGAACUUGUGUGUGCUUUUGAUGCCCAUGAUAUAUUGUUAUGUCCCUUAUUAAUGUCUGGCCUUGUUUUACAGGCUUUGUUGUGCUGCACACCGUGCCCGUCAUUUAUGAGAAGUACGAAGACAAGAUCGACCCACUCGCAGAGAGGGCGACUAUCGAGUUCAAAAAGCAGUAUGCCGUGUUUGAUGCCAAGGUUUUGAGUAAGAUUCCGCAUGGUCUAAAAAACAAGAGGUCUUAGAAAGCUUGGGGUGUUAUGUUGUGUUCUAAAGCUCUAGGAUUCGUAGUUGAGCUUCCCCUUCUGUUCAAGUGUUUUGGGUUUGUAAUUUGAAUGACUAUACUCAUGUGGUCAAGUUUCGAGAAUUAGGUUCCGUUCUUGUGCUUAUACAUAAUCGUGGGAAGCCAUUAAACAGCAGCUUACCCAUAUUUCAAUUAGGAUGACUUUAUGUUAUUCAAUGCUGCUUUACGUUGUUCGUCGAUUAGUGUUUGAACUGUUAUGGUGUAUAUUAUUUCAUGCUUGGUUCUCUUUUUGGUUGUGAGCAUGAUACUUCGGUGCUUAAGUUACGAUGAACGACUAAUUUUUGUGUUGAUAUUACUUGUGGUUCAAGUUGAUUAUUUCUUGUUCGUUAUAAACAAAACAAAACGAUGGUGUUUUUCUUCAAAGCCUUAUUCCGACAUUUUUCUUGUAACUUGGUGUUUGAUAGGAUUGAACAUUUUUUAGUGACCAAUGCAUCCGCCUUCGAAUUUGAUUGGUAAGAUUGAAUUGAUGGGGCUCUUAAGGACUUUGUCAAAACCACCUUUACAGCUAGUGCUAGAUUCAGUGGCAAGGAUUUAGAACUAGGUGCCAUGAAACAACAGGAUUGCUUAUUGACAGGCAAUAAAUCACGGCAUGCCACUUGCAACUUAUAUGUUUUAAAUAUAUUUAUAUGCGUAAAUUGACAAAAGGAAAGUCAAAUAUUUGAAAUAAAUGAAUAAUUUUAGAUCAUGCUAAAAGAAAUAUCUCAUAAAUCAAUUAAAGCAGUUAAAUUCACAUAAUAAAAUCGGUCUUUAUAGAAUUUACAUUAAAAAUAGAGAAAAUAAUAUAUAUUAAACAAUUAAUUGAAUCAUAUUAUUGUUAGCCUAAUGUGAGGCUAAGCCCACCUCCUCUCUCUUAGUGUGCAUAAUAUUGCUUAAUUAAAAAAAAUAAUAAUAAUUUGACAAUUAAUUUAAUCACAUUAUUAUCCGUGUGCGAAAUAUCUUUUUUAUAACCGGCAUUAUACGCCUCUUAAGAUGUUUUAAACGCGUUUAAAAAUAAAGAAAAUAAUAUUUAAUAAAUAACUGAUGAAUCACAUUAUUGUUAGCCCAUUGUGAGGCUAAGCUCAUCUCCUCUUCCUUAGUGUAGAUAAUAUCUUUUUUAUAACCGGCAUUAUACGCCUCUUAAGAUGUUUUAAACGUGUUUAAAAAUAAAGAAAAUAAUAUUUAAUAAAUAACUGAUGAAUCACAUUAUUGUUAGCCCAUUAUGAGGCUAAGCUCACCCCCUCUUCCUUAGUGUAGAUAAUAUUGUUUGUUAAAAAAAAAAACAAUCAUUUGAUAACUUAUUUAAUCACAUUGUUAUCCACAUGUGAAAAAUAUUUUUUAUAACCGGCAUUACAUGCCUCUUAAGAUGUUUUGAACGUGUUUAAAAAUAAAUAAAUUGAAUCACAUUAUUGUUAGCUUAUUGUGAGGUACUAAUUAAAAAAGUAAAUUAUUAAAGAAAUAUUGUUAAAAUGACGAAAAUACCCCUACCUUAUUUGAUGUAUUAUUUUGGAAUGCCUUUGAAGUUUUUUGUUUUGGAGGCAUUUUUGUCCAAAUAUUUUUGUUGAAUGGGAAAUUUUAUUUGAACCCAUGUAAACUCUUUCUACACCCAACUUAAAUUUAAAUUGUUAAUUGUCUAUUUUUCCGUAUUGCAUAAUUACUAUUAAGUACAAAAUGAAAUUAAUAAUAAAACUCAAAAUCAAUAAACCCUUUAAACCCUACAAUUUAUCCUAUGUUUAUUCUGGCUAAAACCCUAAUGGGAUGUUUGGAAAAAUAACCAGAAUUUUGAUCUCAUAUAAAAUUAUAACCAAUAUUUUAAGUUUAUGAUAAAUUUAUACAAAAUUGAUAUGAAAAUACUAAUAUACCCUUAUAACAAAUAAAAACUUCUUACUUCCGUGUCAACUUAACCACUGCAAGCAUGCAUGCAUCGUCAAUCUCUUCCGUUCCACAAUUCUUGCAAUCACCGGCUAAAACCCUAAUGGGAUGUUUGGAAAAAUAACCAGAAUUUUGAUCUCAUAUAGAAUUAUAACCAAUAUUUUAAGUUUAUGAUAAUUAUAACCAAAAUUUGAUAUGAAAAUACUAAUAUACCCUUACUAACAAAUAAACUUCCUGAUUUGUUCUUACCGUGAAAAACUACCACUGCAGCAUGCAUCGUCAAGCUUUCCGUUCCACAAUUCUUGCAUCACCAGUGCUGCAUACUUGCCACAUAAUUCAUGUACUAUUUGACCAAUGGUAUCGAACACUAAUGCAUGAAUAAUCAGAAAAUACACUUCUCCAUCUAUGAACUGAAAUUUGGAUCUGUUUUCCCAAAUUUUAUUAUUAUUGGGCUAUUAAUCUAUUAAUUUUACCAUUUUGUUCUUAAUAAAGUUGUAAUCUUUCUACAAUUUCUAACCAAAUAAUAAUAAAAUGUUCGUUUCCCAAAAUCUCCAUCAAAACAUGUGGACAAGGAAGCCUUCAUACACAAACCCAAGAUCCUGCUACCACUUCUCAGCUUACAAUCAUGGCUGCAACAGCCAAAAAUCCCUCAAAGUUCGCUCCGGACAAACGAACAACCUUUUGGGUUCACAAAAUAAAGAUAUCCAGAUGUAGUUUCUGCAAUGGGUUUGAAUAUAUACUUUAUAUUUGCUUGAUUUGCUCUUUGGGUUUUGUGUUCGAAUCACGUAACUCUGUAUACCUACUUAGCUAUGUAACGUGCUUAGGAAAUUUAAUUUUAAAGGUAUAUUAGUAUUUUUAUAUUAACUUUUAGUUAUAAUUAUCAUAAACUAAAAAAGGUGGCUAUAAUUCUAUAUGAGAUCCAAAUUUUGGUUACUUUUCCAAAUUUUCCAACCCUAAUAGAUCAUUUAGAGAAAAACAAGUUUUUUUUUAUUGAUGGAUGGUGAUUUUGAAGUUUUGAAUCCUCGACUCAAUUUAUGAAUAUUUUGUUCAUUUGAUUUCAAUUUUUAUAAAGUUCAGAAGAUGAGUAUUUGGGUUUCAAUUUUUUUCAUCAAUCCCGAAUGGUUUGUAAACUUUCUGCAAUUGGAAAAUUCUAAGGAAAAACUUCCUACCAAUGUUCUUAGUUUAUAAACUUCUUUGCUUGUUGAUAAAUAUAAGGGGAUAAAUUAUUUGAUUUGUUUCUUAUGCACAUUAGUAGAAAGAAAAAAAGACAAAUGUCUGGGUUUGGUAGCAUAACGAAAAAAAAAAAAAAAAAAAGUAGCCAUGGAAAUGCUACUAGGAAGAGGGGGGUGGGGGCAAGGACACCUCUUUUUUUUUUUUUUUUUUAAAUUCAAUUACAUGUUAUUUUAUAAAGGGAAUGGGUGUAGAGAUAACCUAGCAUUUUGAAUUGGGUUUGAGAGGGUAGUUCAAAUAAUAAAUUUGGGUUUAAAGAGAGAUUAAUUCUUUAAUAAAAAACAAUAUGGAUGAAGAGAGUAAGUUUGGUGUAGAAAGAGGUUACAUGUGUUCAAAUAAAAUUUUCCAAUCACUAUUCACCUUUUCCAUUCUCUUUAUAUAUAAUAGAUAGAUAUUUGAGAUUUAACUGUUGGAUCUUUCUAUUUUUAAUCUCAACAAUUCAUUUACAAUUGAAGAAAAUUGUAAUUAAGAUUGAAAGCAUGUUUCACUUCAGGAUGGGUGGAUAUUAAUCUCAUACAUGAAUGGUGGAUAUUAAAUUUAAUCUCAUACUUGAACGGCUAGGUAUCAUUCUCAUUCACAACUUCUUUCAUUUUUCGGUAUGGAAUUUUCCACAUGCUCCUUUUCUUCUUCCGACUCAUGUUUAUUUCUGACAUUCAAUUGUAUAAGCAAAGUACAAUCAAGUGACAUACGGAAAUCAACAUAUGUGCAUAGUCAUUUCUCUUCUUAGAAAACGGAAAAAAACUUGUACGGAGCUUAACUUGUCACUCAAUCAUGUUGAGUGACACUACACACCACUUAUAACUUGCGAGGUGUUUAUACAUUAAAUGAUUUCUUUUUUUUUUUUUUUUUAAACUUAAAGCAUUAUUCCUUCAAGAAACUAGUUAAAAUAAAACUCACAACCCCAUUUCAACCUUCCUCCACCUGCAGACUGCGCCUAUGGACUCUUCUCUCUUGUCGGCCGGUGUCUCCAACGCCGUCAAUUCUCCCCCCUUACUACUCAGCUCCCCCUUCGUUGAUUCCCCCAUCUCUCAUCUUUCUUUCUCAUGAUUGCUUAUAAAUGAUUCAAUCUCACAUCAAUAGCGCAUGGUAGUUGAGAACUGGGAACUACAAACUGGUGAAGGAAGGUGUCUUUGUAUCUUUGACAGUUGGGUUCUUCACCAGAAUUUGUGUGUCCAUGAUAAUUAUUCGAUCAUUUAUAUAUAAAAAAGAAAAAUGAAAAAGUGAGGUUACUCAGAAACCUAAUUCAUUUAAGAUGAUUUAAUGAACCAUUAAUUACACAAAUUUUACACAAUUUCUCAGCAACCAUGCAAGGCCGUGAGGAGAGAACCUUGUGAUUGUGCUGGUGUCCCUCAAAGUCAGGCCUUUUAAAAAUUCACUUUUCCAUAUAGUUUUUAUUAAUUGAUUAUCGCCAAAAGUAAAUUUGAAUCACAUUAUUGAUAGUCUAUUGUGAGAUUAAUCAUAUCCCUUCCUCUUAGUGUAAAUAAUAUCAUUUGUUAAAAAAAAAAAAGUUGAAAAUAAGAAUUAUACUUGCACAACUCUGCCUAACACAUGGCAAGUUAUGAAUGGUGUGGUAGUGCCGCUCAGUAUGAUUCAAUGUCAAGCCAAGCAGCACACCUGAUUAUUCCAGAAGACGCGCCCAUGCAUGACUUCCAAGUAGGGAGGAAGAUAAAUAUGGCACAAAAAUAAGUUCCAAGUAAAUGUGAGCAAUCUCUGAUAUAAAUUAUAUCGUUUCCGAAGUAGUCAUUGUUUUUAGGUCGUGCACAAAGACAUCGUCGAACGUCCCUUUUGAAUUUACAUCGUCAAACAGGCCCCAAACCUAAAAUUACCAGGCAGCUAUGCAGAAACUGGUAUGGGUGAAAGAAUUGAUGGAACAAGAUUGGGUGUCUACAAAAUCAAACAAUGAUCUAUACCUUUGAUUAAUUACAAGAUACAACACAAUUUCAAUAUCUCGGAAGCAUUCUUGAGGCGUACGGAUUGCUUUCUGACGAAGUGAGAGGAACUGUUGAGAAUUCCGAAUCAGAGUGCUCCAACCGAAAAUUACUGCGAAAAGGUGAGGGGCUUGUGUCUUGGAUUGGUGAUAAAUUAGUUCUUGAGAAACCAGGCUCACCCCCACUAGUUGUUCUGUGGUCAGGAUUCGAUGGACCGGUAUGCGAUUUGGUUGGAGUUCUAUAUGAAUCUUCUUGAGAUCUGCCUGAAUCGUCGGCCAACUCCCGUCUCUCCCUUUCUUCAGUUUCUUUGAGAAGAAAAUCAACCCACAGAUCUGCAAAGGACUGGAGUUGGAAGGGAACAAUGUUAGUGGAAGAAUCCAUGAACCAAAUUCGGAAAUAACAGUUUAAUGAACCCACUUGGAUAAAGGAAACGCUCUAGGAACAAUUUUCCGGGCAGCUUAUUGAUUCAAAUUUAAAAGCUAAUAGAGAACGAUGCUUAUGCAAGGUAAAACAGCACUAGCUGGAGAUUCAAGUACGCCAAUUAAUCUUGCCAUCGAACGGAGACAAAUAAGUACCUGGUUAUCAGCUGCUGCAUUUGCAGAUAAUCCAGCUGAACCGCCUCCCAAAAUUCCACCAACAAGGCGACCAGGUAGAGAGAAAACUCCACGAACAACACCUUUGCCUGCACCUUGAGAGACGCCUAUUCUCUGCUUGUCUUCAUCAGGGAAUCCCAGCAUGCGAGCCAUAAGAUCCAGAACCUGAAGAGCCACAUAAAAAUUACGUGAGUCUGCUUACAGAAAAUAAAAGGAGAUAACCAGGUUUAAAAAGAAGGGCAAAACUUGUGUCCGUGGUGCAUAAAACCUUAGUUGGGUUAGGGAACUGACCAAUGAAAAAUUAUUAAAUUCUAGCAGAAACUGAAGAAAACAGCAAGAACACUUUUGGUAUUACCCCACCAUAGCUAGUCUAAAUAAAUCUUCAUACCUCUUUACUGUGGUUUCUCUGGAAGUAGGUCACCAGUAACUUGAUCACAAUGCGUCUGUGAACAAAACCAAUCUUCAUUAAUGAAACAGCUUUAAAAUAAAGUAUGUAAACAAAAAAUAUACCAAUGAUCCUUAAUGACAAUAGAAGAAAACACUUCUCUGAAAAAGUAAGAAGAAAGAAAAAGGUAAAAUGAAAGAAAGAAAAGAAGGUUGGCCUCUACUUGAGGCAUGAGCCAUAACUGAAAAUUGAACACAAAACGAACACCAAUACUCUUAUCUACCCUAAAACCCAACAGAAGGCCAACCAAAAAGUUAAACAGACCAACCUGUCAACAAGAUAAUCUGAAUCUACCGACAUCCUAUUAAGCCUGGUCAUGCUCUGCUCAACAGCUCGGCGUAAUUUUGCAUUGUCUUCCUCAAGUUUAUUUACUCUGCUUUUCCAAUCUACUACUAUUUUUUCAGCUUGUGAAAGCUUGGACAAAAUUUCUUCCUUUUCUUUCUUUGAUGCUUCUGCCUGAUGGUCCGCUUCCUGGUAGAAUCAUAAACAUUUAAAUUCUGAUAUGCUUAUGCCUGCGUGUGUGAGCAAUAUGUGUGGGUGCAUGUGCGAGAGCAUGUGUGUAUGUGUGUAGGUGUGGGGGGAAGGGAGGGCUCCAGUUUUAUGCAAGUUAAACAUUGUGAAUUAUAUAGUACCAACCAUCAGAAUAUACAGAGCUUAAAUUCGUGUAAGUGAUGCAACUUUAUAUGAUAUAAUCAUGUAAGGAUUUAUCUUCUUGUACUUAUCGUCUCUAAGACUAUCCUCAACAAACAAAACAAGUAUGAUUUGCUAAUCACAGUGAUGGAACACCAAUGUAAUAAAUGUACUGAAAGAAAUAUUAUAUAGCACAAGAAGCAAAUUAGAAAUUGCAUACUCAGACAAAAUAUGAAAAUGCAAAGGAAAAAAAAAAAAAGCAAUCAUACUUUCAAGAGCCGCGAAAGCUUAGCUGACUCUUCCCUUGCCCGAGACAAAUCUCCUUCCAAAUGUUCCUAUACAUAAAAGGAAACUAGCAUCAAAAUAAUAAUCUCGGGAUUCAUACAUCAACACAAAACAUUCCAAAAUGCCUUCCUUGAUAAUUCAAUAGGCAGACAAACAAAAUUUACAUUUGGUUACCUUAGCUUCAAUUUCAGCAUAGUACUGACCAAGAGCAGUUUGAAGAUUCAAGAGUUCAACAUUUUUGGCAUCUAUUGUGCUCAUGCAGCUUUCAAGUCUUUUAUUCAGAUCAGCAAUAACUUCCUUUGAUUUCUGAAUUUCAUUGUUGUUGCUCAUCUUGAAUUGGUCCUGAUUUGCAAUUGCCUGAUUCAAAGCUUUCUCCAAAUGUAAAAUUUGAGCUCUUCGAUAUUCGUUACUUUCUCGAAGUUCUUCAAUAAUUUUGCUGUCUUCAUCCAUUUUUUCAGAAUCUUCAGAUUCCUAGAGAAGGUAUAUGCCAUAUGGAAAAAUCAGUCAUCAAUUCUGCGAGACAUUUUCAUUUAGGAAAUACAGGAUGUAAAACCCACCAAAAAUGUUUCCCAAAAAAAACAAAAAAAAAAGAUAAAAUGAUUUGGGUCCAUCUUGAACCUGAUUCAAGGAUCAACUCAGAAUUAAACCACAAAUCUGUCACCUGAUUUUGAAAUAAAGAAAGUUUCAUCAUAUAUCUACCCCAUAAGAGCUCCCAAUUUUUGUAAAUUACGGAUAAUGAAGAAUCCCUAGAUGCUGGAGACAUCUACCCCAAAACAUAUCUCAAGAAUUCUAAAUUCUCAAUUUGUCUCCAAUAGUGAAUAUAUAAUAUUUGCAGAAGAUGAUAUGUAGUGUCAAAGUUCAUAUAUUAGCAGAAUAUAUCAUACAAAAACAAGCAUAGGUCCAUUUUUAUAAACAGUCAAUAAAUAUCAAAUAAUUUAACACAAUAUCAGAUAACUUAACACUCUUUGGUUUAGUCAUCAGAUUUUCUGCCAAGGGUAAUACAAAACAGUACAACAGCCCGCAGUCACUAUCUAUUGUCUCCCUCAUUAAACUUUUGUUAUUAAUGGUCCCUUCAAAAACCAAGUGCAAUAGCGUUCUAGGAUUCAUUUAGCCGACCCCACUCAGUGGGAUAAGGCUUGGUUGUUGUUGUUGUGUAAUGGUCCCUUCAAUAAUGGCUGUGCAAUAGAGAGAAUAAUCCACUGAAAAUUAUCCUCACUCACAAUCCCAUCAAUUUCAUUGUCAAAUGGACCACAAUGCGAAUAGUAAAUAUUUUUCAUUUAAUAUCAUGUCAGGCACCGCAAUGUGAAUAAUGAAUAUUUUCAAGACAUGUAACCUUUUCCAACAAAUGCUGUUUAAGGCGUGACAAUUGUUGCAAGGUUUUGUCCCUUUCAAGACGUGUUUCCUUCAAAUUUUUAUCAAACUCUCGUAACGAUUUCUCCAUUUCUUCCUUUCCAGGAAAACUUUCUGAAGAUUCCACCUUCUGCACAAAAUUUUAAAAUACUGAUAAUAAGCAGAAGAAUUGCUGUCAAAGUACAAAGAACUGAGUUAUGUUAAAACAUACAAUCGCACCCACACCUAAUACACAAAGGGAGAGGGAUUAAGAAAUAGGAUGCCAUCCUAUGCAGGAAAAAAGUAAUAAUUGUUUUCCCCAAAAAUUCUCAAAACAAGAUUACCUGCAUUUCACUUGCAGUUCUGCUCACUUUCAAAGCGCCCUCAAGUUCAUUUUUCUCCAUCUAUGCAAUGACAUAGUAUUAGGGUUGAUUGUCAAAGUAACACAAACUCUCGUAAAAAAAGGUAUGACAAAAUAAAGCACCAAUUAUCAACCUUAAGACUAUUAUUUUCCUUCUGCAGGGUUGCAAUUAACCUUUUCAAACUCUCUGCACCAUUAUUUGCAUUUUCAUCCUCCCUUCUAUUCAACUCCAUUUGCAGUCGAUUUAUCUCAGACAUUUUCUCAUUCAACUCACUGCUUAUUUUGCUUAUCUCGACGGAGGUCUUCCAAAAGAAAGUACAUGCAUGGUGAAAGACAGAGGUCAGAGCACCAAAAAGUGGAACAUAAAUGUACACAUACAGCUGCCCUCAUAAAUACAGCCCUUGAUGUCUGAAAGAAAGUAGAGGAAUUUUUUUUUUUUUUGCAUAUUUCCUAAUUAAAAUGGCAAUGAUGCAGUGUAGAGGAAACCCGCAUAUAUUACACAGAUAUAUCAGUAGAUUGAUACAAAUAGACAAUGCAAAAAUAAUGAGCAGUCAAAUAUAUGCAUCUAAUAUCAAUGUCUCUGUCCAACUUUGAAACUCACCUUUUCCCUAUCCAACUUCAGAAAUUUGAGCUCUUCCUGGAUUGCUUCAUUCAAUUUCUGUUGUUCUGUGAAUGGACGAAGAUUGAAUAAAAAAAAAUUAGAUAAAUGGUUGAGAUGACUUGUAGAAUUCCUUCUGAAUCUUGCACAGCAAUGUACCUUGUAACUUUUGAUGUAUCUUUUCUGACUGAUUGCGUUCUUUUUUAAGUUCCAUCCGUAAUUUUUUCAUCUCAGCAGUAGCUAGCACUGCUGUCGGGGACCUAUUAUUCUCUUCUAGUAAAUCUGCAAGCUCCUAGAAGGCAUUUAUACAUCUGUUGUCAAGUUCUUUCACCAUUAAAAGAAAAUAGCAUACUGGAGAUCCAAAAAAUAAAUUCAAAUUCUAACUACAGCCAAAACUGCUUUGGAUAUCUAUUAUGGGUUUCAGUCUAUACAGAAUUCCGGGGGUUAUCUUAUUCUAGUAUUUGGUUCGAUUGGGAAGCUUUUAUAAUCUAGGUUGUGUGGUCCAUGUUUAUGUCAUAGUGGAUACUGCCUUAGAAUAUUUGCUUCUAUGAUUUUUUCUAAUACUGUUUCUGUCCAAGUUGUGGCCAUCUUGUCCACUCCUUGUGUAAUUUUAUUGAUUCAUUCAUUUCUGUUUGUGGUAACAGAUCAUAGAAAGAAAAAACACUAAUAAAAAAAAGGAGACAGGUAGAUCUAACCGAAAUAGAAAAGAAUACAAGGUGCAUUACCCUUUCACUCCCUUGCAUAUCUGAAAGCUGUGAAAUCCCAUUGCUUGUACUGUCUUGUGUAAAGACAACACCAUUCUGUUUCUGAUGUCCAGAGUAUCCAAUUUUUGCUGGACUUGUCACUUUAUGCUGUCUGUUGGGCGACUGAUUACCACUUCCCUGAAUAAAUUUGAAGCUAACUUAGCCAAUUAUCAGAGCUCGAGGACAAUCAAUGACGACAACUAAGUAAAAACAAUUCUUGCUAACUCAAUAAAGUAGCACAUAUAAAGGUCGUACCCAGUGCACAAGGCUCCCGCUUUACGCAGGGUCUGGGAGAGGUGAAUGUCGGCUAGCCUUACCCCCAUUUAUGAAUGUCGGCUAGCACAUAUGAAAUUAUUAAAUAAUAUGGAAGCAAUUAAACCACUCCAUAAAGGGGUUGAGGAUCUGGAACUCUGCUAUGCCAGUUAAAUACACCUCUCGAUUCAAGUACCUUAUUAAUGCCCUUCUUACUAAAUGUUCAGAUAACUAACACGCAGACCAAAUAUAUAUAUAAAUAACAAGUAGCCAGUAUCUUAAAUAUAUACCUUCUGACCAAUAAACCUUGUGCUAUAUGAUAAAAGAAGUAUCAUAAAGAAGUUUAUGAUUUAAUUGAAGCUAACCACUAAGUACUAGCAAACUUACUGAACAGACUCAUUGCAAACAAUGUUAAUGAUGACGCAAGUAGAUUUUGUCAUAACAACUACCUUGAGCACGUUGACUCCAUUUGCAGCUGCUUUGUGAUUUUCAUUUUUAGCUGCAUUCAGAGAUGCAGUAGUUGAGUCCAGAUUCUGUUUCAAUGAGCCAUUUUCUUUACUCAAUCUGGAUAUUUGAUCCUGUCAAACGGGAGGGUUUCCAAAAGUCAAAAGACAUGUUGUAAUAUAUUUUAUUAAGAUGCCACCCCAUACAGAAUAUAAGGUGUACGAAUCCAACCACAGGAAUACAGAAUAUAAGGAGCAUGGAUCCAACUAAAGAUACUCCAUCAAACAACAUAAACAAAAAGGAAGUAAUCAAUAGUAUAAUUUCCCUAGAGUCAUCGGGUACCUCUUUUUCCUUUAACAGAGCUGCAUAGUUUUUUGAUAAUGCUUUUAUUUCUGCCUCAGAUUCCUGAAGCCUCUUAAUUUCCAAUUUGCAUUGUUCAAUCUAAUUAAAGAAGGAAAAAAAAAGUGCAGAUUAGAAUAUCAUAACAUACUCCAUCUGAUAAAGCAAACCAAAUAACAGCUGCGAAAGAUGAGAGACGACAUGAGCAGUGACCAGUGAAGGUGAUAUUAAAACAUAGGGCACGACGCCACCAAAAGCUAGCAAAAUGUAGACUUUCACACUUUGUCACCACAAUUCUGAAUCCGGGCUUAGAUCAAGUAUAAUGUGAUAGACUCUGCCUAUUUCUGCAUUUGCACCAUCGCACUACAGUUGCUAAAAGUUUAGCAAUUUGACCAAUAAUUGCUUAACCAAUAACACUUAAUAAGACCUGCUAACAGGAAUUAUCUCGCUUACUAAUUACUAACCAUUGAUUCCCUUUAAAUUCUGUAUGCUCUCAACCUAAACCGCAAAUUAAGAGGAACCCCGCAUUUCAAUACGAAAAUGAACCACAAUUUGCAAAUCUACCUCCAUUUCGAAGUUUGAAUUUGUAAGACACACACCGAUGCCAAAUGAUUCAAUGUUUCACUAACAUAAUAACCAAAUUCUCAGCUAAAAAACACAUAAUCCUAAAUCCACACUCAUCGAAAUCGAUCCAAGCAUUCAUUAACAGCUCUAAAACCCAAAUGAACAAAUGACCGACACUAAAAUAAUUCCCUAACCCAAAAAAAAUCCCAAAUUACCCACGUUUCCAAGAAAAAAAAUCACAAACCUCGGGAGUAAUAGUAAAAUCGACGCCAUUGGGGAUCGGAGAGCGGGAGGGGGAUUUGGAAUGGGCGAAGCUGUGGGAAUUCCUCCGAUCAGAUAAGGAAUAAGCUUUUUCUCCAUUGAUGGCGUGGAUCUCGUACUCUUCGUCAUCGUCGUCGUCGUCGUGGACGUCCUGCGCCAUCUUGUUAAGAUUCUCCUUCAGGUUCGCAAUCGUGCUCCACAUCUUUCAAAACCCUCGCAAAUACCAGCAAAUUCAAAUAUGCGUGGCUGCUUAAUCUGAAGAAAUCGGGCGCCAAAAUCGUUGGAAAGUCGGAGGUGAAAUUUCUUGGACUGGGGAUUGAAAUUUGGGAUAUGGGUAGAUCUGAGGGGGGAGAGGAAGGAGCGAAGCGAAGAGGUGGAAUUUCGUAAUUAGAUUUCGUUUUUAUGGUUAGAGGACACGUUUUGUAACUUAUGAAAUGUCAUAGGUUGGUAACGCUAUUUUUUUAUUUAUAAACAAACGAUAUUAUCCACCCUAAAAAUGAGAUGAUGUGUUUAGCCUCACAAUGAACUAGUAAUAAUGUAGUUCAAAUUUACCUUUGCUGAUAAUCGAACCUAAUGGCUCUUAUCUACAAGUACAGAGAAAUACUACUAGACUAUAGUAUUAAGUGGCUUAUUAGUAACGCCUUUUGAAAAUUACUUUUUUGAUUAAAUUUAUUUGUAAAAAGUCUAUGCUGCCCUAAUGACUUACAAUGACCCCAACUACACUUUGGUCUUCGAUGUUGAACCACCACCUCUUAGACGAUGAAAACAACACAACGACGCU
Molecule: long non-coding RNA, 66218 nt
Filed under: Malus domestica (apple)
Lineage: Eukaryota; Viridiplantae; Streptophyta; Magnoliopsida; Rosales; Rosaceae
Description: long non-coding RNA (MDOM_LNC000808)
Source: RNAcentral